UCUGAGUAUCCAUUCUACCUCUUUGAUCUCCAACGCAAGGUAAUUUUUUGGGUUUUUCUGUUUUUCAAUCGUUCAAAUUGGAAUAUAUAAUGGAAACAUCAGCGAAAAAAUCCAUGAUUUCCAGCAAUACAAGUGAAGGGAUUGAUAGAAUAAGCACAUUGCCAGAUGAGGUAAUCCACAACUUACUUUCCUCUCUCUCUAUAUUUGAUGAAGUAGUUCAGUUGAGUGUAUUGUCCAAAAGAUGGAGAUAUAUAUGGACUACAAUGCCUUAUUUGCACUUUGAUAUUGAUAAUUCUUGUCUACAACGGCUCUAUGGUGGAAGGUGGGAUUUUCAUAUGAUACCGAAGGAAAAAUUCAAAGACUCCCUUUGGGUCCUAAUUUCCCAAAGGGAGACUAAGCUUGCCAAGUUUCUGAUGGAAAAAACAGUGAUGAGAAGAAAAACGUGGACUCUAUUCAAUUGGCGAAAAAUUGAUCGUAUCUUUGAAGUACAUCAAGGGAACUCUUUAAAUAGAGUUUUACUCACAGAAAAAAUAACGUAGCAAUCCACUAACUCCUAUGAUUACUCAACUACUAACAAAUUAAAAGGAUUCUCCUGCUUCUAUUCAACAACCUACUUAUUUGCUAAAGACUCGGUCAACUAAAACACUAGCUAACAAAUGAAAGAGAAAAAACAAUAACUAACAAUCCCUCCCUUAAACUGAAAGUCACACUAUCAGUAUAACAUGCUUGCAGCAGACAACUUGUUUUAAAUGUGAUUUUCCAAAGUGCAAACACCAAGUAAUUUUCUAAACUUCAAGAAGGAUGCUAACUUGAGAGAUUUGGUAAACACAUCAGCCAGCUGAUCUUCACUUCUGCAGAAGAUGAGAUCAAUUACUCCAUCUUUUGUGAGGUCCCUUAAGAAUGAAAUUUGACAUCAAUAUGUUUACUUCACCAUGCUGAACAACUUGGAGAGCUUUAUUGCUGAACUGCUGUCACAAUAAAUGGUAGUAGAGCCAUUUUGCUUGAAAUGAAUUUCUUCAAGAACUUUACGCAUCCAAAUUGCUUGACAGGCACAUGUUGCUGCUGCCACAAAUUCAGCUUCUGGAAUUGAUAGAGUCACAAUUGAUUGCUUUCUCGAAGACCAUGAAAUUGCUCCCGACCCCAUCAUAAAGACAUAACCAGACGUACUCUUUCGAUCAUCUGAAUCUCCCGCAAAAUCACUGUCAGUAAAGCCAACUAAGUCUGCUUUUCUCCUUUCGCGUAGAACAGACCAUAAUUAGUAGUUCCUUGCAAGUAUCAAAAAAUUCUCUUUGCGGCUAGAAGAUGCAUCUCUUUGGGACUUUCCAUGUAUCUGCUAAUAAGACUUACAACAUGCAUAAUAUCAGGCCUUGUGGCCGUUAAAUACAUCAAACUUCCCACUAUUUGUUUGUAAAGAGUGUUGUCAACUAUUCUUCCUCCAGGUUCUUUAGUGAGCUUCGAACCGAACUCAGUGGGACUGUUGGCAGAGUUGCAACUCUUCAUCUGAAGCCUGUCCAAAAUCUCUUGAGCAUACUUCCUUUGUGUGAUGAAAAUCCCAUCAGCAGAUUGAACGACUUCAAUGCCAAGAAAAUAAUGCAUCAUUCCAAUAUCCGUCAUAUCAAAUUCCACCAUCAUGGACUUCUUAAAACUUUCAACCAUGGAGAUGUCAUUUCCGGUGUAAAUUAAAUCAUCCACAUAUAAACAAACAAUGAGCAUUUUUCCUUUAUCAUCAUUCUUUGUAAAGAGUGUGUGCUCAUAUGGACAUUUCUUAAAUCCCUCCUUCGAAAAAUAAGCAUUUAUUCGACUAUACCAAGCUCGUGGAUCUUGUUUUAGUCCAUACAAUGCCUUCUUUAAUUAACACACCUUAUGUUCUUCUCCAACCUUGACAUAACCUGGAGGUUGAUCAACAAAUACAUGUUCAUCCAAGUCCCCAUGUAAGAAGGCCGAUUUGACGUCCAUUUGAAAAAUGGGCCAUAAGUGUUGAGCAGCCAAAGCUAUCACUAAUCUGAUAGUGUCUAGUCGUGCCACUGGAGCAAAAACUUCUUUGUAGUCCACACCGAACUCUUGCUUAUAGCCUUUAGCUACUAAGCGUGCUUUGUGCCGCUCGACUUUACCUUCCUUAUUCAUCUUUUUCUUGUAUAUCCACUUGACACCGAUUGUCUUAUGCCCUUUUGGAAGCUCUAUCAACUCCCAAGUGUCAUUUCUAUCAAUUGCUGCCAUUUCUUCAUCCAUUGCCUUUUGCCAUUUUUCAUCUUUAACAGCUUCUUCAAAACUGGUAGGAUCACUUUCUGAAAAUAAGGCAAAAUGAAUGACUGGAUCUUCCGAUUGAUCAAUUCCAGUUACCUUAAAAUCUGCCAUCCAUGCGGGUCUCCUUUUUUAUCGUUGAGGUCUCUCCGUUUCUUGUGUAGGAAUUGAAAUCGGUGAUUGAACUGGAUCUGAAUUUUCCAGUUGUUCUGUCUCCUCCAGUUGUAGCGUUUCCUCUUCAAAAGCCACUGGAACAAGCUGCUGAUCUCCUUUGUCCUUCUAUGACCAAGUAGUAUUUUCAUAAAAAAUUACAUCACGACUAAUGACAAUUUUCUUGGUGUUUGGAUUAUAUAACUUAUAAGCCUUAGAUUGAUUACUAACACCAAGAAAAAUGCAUUUUUCUCCUAUUUAUCAUCUAGUUUGAUCCUUUUCUGAUCUGGAACAUGAGCAUAGGCCACACAUCCGAAGUAUUUAAAAUAGUCGACACUUGGUUUCUGCCGGCUCCAUGCCUCCUUCGGAGUCAUAAUUUGAACAGAGAAAGUUGGACUUCUAUUUAAAAUAUGAAUGCUUUAGUCAACUACUUCUGGCCAAAAGCUUUUUGAGACACCGCUCCUUGUCAAAAUGUUGCACACCAUAUUGAGGAUUGUGAGAUUCUUCCGCUCACAAACACCAUUUUGCUGAGGUGUGUAAGCUGUUGUAAAUUGCCUCUUGAUUCCAUUUUCCUCACAAAAAUUUGUAAAUUCUUGAGAAUUGAACUCUCUUCCACGAUCAGUACGAAGAACUUUCAAUGGACUUCCAGUUUCUUUCUCAACAAGUACUUUAAAACGUUUAAAACUGUCAAACGCUUCAGACUUUUCUUGUAAAAAAUACACCCAUGUUUCAAACUGAAGUCAUCAAUGAAGGUUAUGAAGUACCUUUUUACCACCAUUGGAAUUUGGAUUUAUUGGUCCACAGAGAUCUGAGUGCACCAAUUCCAGCAACGCCUUUGCUCUCCUAGAUUUGCCUUGUGGAAAUGGAUUGCGAGGUUGUUUGCUAACAACACAACUUUCACAAGUUCCUGAAGGAGCUGCAAUUUGAGGAAGACCGUUCACCAUUUUCUUCUGAUGUAGCGUUCUCAAUCCAUUAAAAUUAAGGUGCCCAUAACGGAAAUGCCAUAACCAGGCAUCAUCUUUCACUUUUGCAGAAAAACAAGAUUUUUUAGAGUUGUGAAGAUGUAACGGGAACAAGUGAUUUGACAUGUUAAUUUGAGUGAUCAACCCCAAAUGAGAAUCUCGUAUCUUACACACUCCACCUUUGAUAUUAAUUUCAUAUCCAUCUUCUUGAAGUUGCCCAACACUUAAUAAAUUUGUCUUCAAAGCAGGAACAUAAUACACAUCACCUAUGGUAUGAAUAUAGUUAUUUUUUGUUGAGACCAGCACCUUCCCUUUCCAUGGCAGAGACCACUGAGUUAUCUCCAAAUCUCACAGUACCUCAAAAAGUUUCAUCCAAUUAUGAGAAUUCCUCCUUUUGCCCAGACAUGUGAUUACUGCAGUCGGUAUCGAGAUACCAUAAAUUAGUGGGAACUUUCUCUUUGGAAUGAUAUGCCAUCAAAAGUGAAACCUCUUCUUCUUCCUUCGUUUGUGCAAAAUUAGAUUCCUCUCCACGCAACUUAGACAAAUCUGUUCGGCAUUCUGAUUUAAAAUGACCGAAUUUGUGGCAUCUGUAACAUUCAACUUUAGACUUGUCCCAUAACUUUGAGUUGUUGCCACCUCGCCCCUUUCCUCUGCCUUGAUUAUCAUGGUUUUAACGGUGUUGACAAUUUCCAUGAUAAUCACUAUUGCCUCGGCCUCUACCUCUGCCUCUACCAAUACCUCUGUUAUACCCUUGUCCUCCGGAACGAUCAUCUGUUGAGGCACUCAAUGCCACCUCCUCCUUUUCUUGUUGUAGUAAUUUUUUGCUCGUGAAUCAACAAAGAGCUCUACAAUUCAUCAAUUGAAAGCAAAUCAAUAUCAUGAGAUUCUUCAAUAGAACAAACAACAAAGUUAAAUUUUGGUGUCAUGGUCUGAAGAAUCUUUUCAACAAUUGUAACUUCAUUUGACUUGUCACCGUGGAUCCGCACUUUGUUGAGGACUGUCAUCACCCGUGAAAAAUAGUCGAUAACUGACUCUCCAGAUUUCAUUCGAAGAGUUUCGAACUCCGAACGAAGUGCUUGAAGCUGCUGCCUCUUUGCCCUCGUCAAUCCUUGAUAUUUCUUCUUCAUGGAGUCCCAAAUCUGGUUAAAAGUAUCUUUAGAAAGAAUAGUUUCCAAGAUUGAACCUUCAAUUGCUUGGAAAAGAUAAUUCUUCGCCUUGAGGUCCUUCAACUUUGCUGCUUGUGCUUUUGCUUUUUGUGCGUCUGACACUGAUGUGCCUUUUGCUGGUUCUGGUAUGCCAUCCACAACCACUUGCCAAUACUCCUUUAAUCUUAGGAAAUUCUCCAUCAACAUGCUCCAAUGAUCAUAGUGACCAUCAAAGCGAGGAAUGGCUGCUUGCACAAAGUUUUCUGAAGCCAUAGUUUCAAACGUUGCUGUUGCAAUUUCUUUUAGUAUUUCUCUCACCAACCUGACUCUGAUAUCACUGAUGAAAAAAACAAUGAUGAGAAGUGUGAAGUUAUACGUAUAUGCCAGCUGUCCAAUUAAGUUUAAUUAAAGAUGUUUGUGAUUAAUUAGUUGAUUAGUUAGUUUGUUAAACAAGUUAGUUACAAUUCUGUCAGAGUUAGUUAAGCUGUAGUAUUUAGCUUUAAAUACAGAUGUAUGAGCUUUGCUCAAGUUAGUUGUGUUGAUUGAUAAUGAGAAGGUUUCUGGGUUUCUCUUCUCCCAUGUAUCGUCACACAUCUCCUCUAUAAUUCUUCCUCCAUUGUUGAAUACUCUGCAUCUUAUCAUGGUAUCAGAGCCUAGGUUCUCAACUUAGCUGUUAUUCCGUUGUAUUUCUUUCAGUUUUAGAUUACAAAUUCUCGGUGUGUAUUCAUGGCGAUUGAGGAUCAGACUGUGUUACCAACAGUUACUCAGGUUGUAGAGAUUGAUCAUCAUCAUCCAUUGUAUCUUCAUCCAAGUGAUACACCAGGAAGCUCUCUAGUCUCUAUUCAGCUUACUGGACAGGAGAAUUAUGCAAUUUGGAGUCGAUCAAUGCGUCUAGGGUUGCUGGGAAAGAGCAAAUUGGGAUUUGUUGAUGGUAAGCAUCCUAGAGAAGCUUUUCCUUCUUCUCUUCAUGAUCUGUGGGAAAAGUGCAAUGCCAUAGUGCUCUCAUGGAUUAUCAAUUCUAUCAGGAAGGAUUUACUGAGUAGUGUCAUUUAUGCUUCUAAUGCUUCAAAGGUAUGGAUCGAUCUAAAGGAAUGCUUUGAUAAGGUUGAUGGAUCUAGAAUUCACUACCUUCAUAAGGAGAUUCAUUCAAUGUCUCAAGGAACUUCCACUGUAUCUAGCUACUACACUAGAUUACGUGAGUGUUGGGAUGAAUUUGAUGCAAUUAUGCCAUGCCCAGGGUGCAAUUGUCCAGAGUCCAGAACAUAUAUGCAUCACUUCGAGUAUCAGAGAUUGCUGCAGUUUUUGACUGGCCUAAAUGAUUCCUAUGCUCAGAGUCGUAGUCAGAUUCUCUUAAUGUCUCCUACACCCUCCAUUAACCAAGCCUAUUCCAUGGUGGUUUCAGAGGAAAGCCAGAGAUCUUUGGGCAAAGCAGUUCAAUCUGCUGAGGUGGGUGAAGGUACUGCAUUCUACAGCUCUGGUAAUAGAGGCAAUUUUAAACAGGGAUCAAGCUCUAGUAAUACAUCCUCCAGAUCUGGAUAUCAUGGAGGAAGUUUCUCUAGUUCUGGUGAUAAUUCCACCUUUGGUGUUGGUAUGCCUAAUGGAUCAUCUUCCAACCUUAAAACUGCAAAAGGCAAUCAAGGUCUGUACUGUGAUUACUGUCAUCAUACAGGUCAUACCAGUGGUACUUGUUAUAGACUACAUGGUUACCCUGCUAACUUCAAGCACACUUUCAAGAAGAAGUCUAGCAACUCACCCACAACUGGAAGGGGAAGGACUGUUCACUAUGCUGCUGGAGAUGCUAACUCUCAAUGGAAUAGGAAUCCUGCAUCUGAUCCUGGAGGUUAUGCAGGUAGUUCUAUAAAUGCAUCUAGAGGGUUCCCAAAUUCUCCUAAUUACUACCUCUCCUACUGGUGGUUUUAACUGGAUAGUGGAUACGGGGGCUACUCAUCACAUGGUAAAUAAUCCUAGGAUUCUAUUUGAUGCUAAAUCCUGCUCUAAUUCUAGAUCAGGUAAUGUGUCCUUGCCUACUGGAGGUAUUGCAAAAGUUAGUCACUUAGGAUCUACUGCAGUCUUGGAUAAUCAGACAGUUCAUAAUGUGAUGUGUUUACCUGAUUUUAAACACAAUCUACUGUCAGUUUCAAAGCUUACAAGGGACUUAAAGUGCUCCGUCAGCUUCUAUCCUGAUUUCUGUAUUUUUCAGGAUCUCUACAGUGGACAGGUGAGAGGGAUUGGUCAACAUGAUCAAGGUCUAUAUGUGAUGAAUUCUUCCUGCAAUUUUUUGAAGCAAGCUGCUGAGAAUAAAAGUCUUCAUAAGACCAGUUGUUGUUCUUUUCUAGUUAGAAAGCAGAAAAAUAGUAUCGGCCUAGCUUUAUGGCAUAAGAGACUAGGGCAUGUGCCUAUACACACAUUAAAGAAGCUGAAAUACUUUGAUAAUGUUUGUAUUGCUGAUUCUGAUACUGAUCAUUGUACUGUAUGCCCUUUGGCAAAGCAAUCCAGACUGCCUUUUCCUCUUAGUUCUACUUUAUCUGAUGCCUGCUUUACACUCAUUCAUGGUGAUGUAUGGGGUCCCUACAGAGUCCCUACUCAUGAUGGUAAGAAGUACUUCCUUACACUGGUUGAUGAUCACUCCAGGUAUACCUGGUUAUUUCUUCUCACCUCCAAAGCUGAAGUCAUAGUAGCUCUCACAAAUUUCAUGUUGAUGAUUAAGAAUGUGUAUUCUGCAUCUGUUAAAUUCUUCAGAACUGAUAAUGGGUGUGAGUUUUUUAAUUCUCAAGUCUCACAUUUGUUAAACACUCUUGGUAUUGUCCACCAGAGUUCCUGUGUAUACACACCUCAACAAAAUGGGGUGGUUGAGAGGAGGCACAGAUAUAUCCUAGACACUGCUAGGGCUAUAAGGUUUCAAUCCAAUGUCCCUCUUAAAUUCUGGGGUUACUGUGUUACAACUGCUGUUUAUGUAAUCAACAGGUUACCAUCUUCCACUCUUAAGGGGAAGGUUCCUUUUGAAGUCCUUCAUAAACAACCUCCUGAUCUUAGUCAUCUCCGAGUCUUUGGCUGUUUGGGAUAUGUUACUUGUCUUCGAAAGUCAGAUAAAUUCUCUCCUAGAGCUCUUCCUGCUGUCCUUCUUGGUUAUUCUCUUACUCAGAAGGGCUAUAUCAUGUGUACUCUUCAUGAGGAAAACUUCAUAGUCAGUCGAGAUGUCCUUUUCAAGGAAGAUGUUUUUCCUUUUCAUCAUCCAGUUCAUAAGAGUUCUCUUCUGUUUCCUGUGCCUUCACUCUCCUCUGAUUAUUCUCCUCCUGAUAAUGUGCAGUUUCAUGUGUCUAGUACCCUUGUUCAUGAUUCUCCCACUGCGUGUGCUGAGUCUCCUAUGCCUUUUGACCCUGUUCCCUCUGAGCCUCCUAUCUUGCCUCUUGAUGUAGCUCCUAGGAAAUCCCACAGGACCACCAAACCUCCUAUAUGGAUGCAGGACUAUGUAGCUCCUUCUAAGGGACUUGUCUCUUGUCAGUUUCCCAUUUCAAAUUAUGUUGCCUAUGACUGCUUGUCCCAGUCUUAUAGCACUGCUUUAGCUGCAUAUUCCGCUACUUUAGAACCAUCUAGUUACUAUGAUGCAGUAAAGAAUCCUCUGUGGAUUGAUGCUAUGAAGCUAGAAAUUGCAGCUUUGGAAGAUAAUCACACAUGGACUUUAGUUGAUCUACCCCCUGGUAAAUCUCCUAUUGGAUGUAAAUGGGUAUUCAAGAUCAAAUACAAAGCCAAUGGUGAAGUUGAAAGGUACAAGGCAAGACUUGUUGCUAAGGGAUUCAGUCAAAAAGAGGGCCUUGAUUAUACUGAAACUUUCUCUCCUGUGGCUAAAAUGGUCACGGUGAGGUCUGUGGUUGCUGUGGCUGCUGCAAAACACUGGCCUAUUUUUCAGAUGGAUGUUCAUAAUGCUUUCCUCCAAGGUGAUCUUUAUGAAGAGGUGUAUAUGCAUGUUCCUCAGGGGUUUGGUAGUCAGCGGGGGAUUGGUAAAGUGUGCAGACUCAACAAGUCUCUAUAUGGUCUAAAACAGGCACCUAGACAGUGGAACAAGAAGCUCACUGAAGCUCUGAUAGACCUUGGUUUCUGUCAAAGUCAUUUUGAUUACUCUUUGUUUACCAAACGGGCAGAUUCUCAGAUUGUUGUGGUGUUAGUAUAUGUAGAUGAUUUACUUGUUACUGGCAGUAGUUCAGAGAUAAUUCUACAGACUAGAAAUGAUCUGAUGCUCAGAUUCAAGAUGAAAGAUUUGGGGCAAUUGAAGUUCUUCCUAGGUAUUGAAUUUGCCAGGUCACAGCAGGGCAUUCACAUGAGCCAGAGAAAGUAUGCUCUAGAGUUGAUUGCUGAGAUGGGAUUAGGUGGAGCUAAGCCAGCUAGCACACCUAUGGAAGCCAAUAUCAAAUUGACUUCUGUUGACUUUGAUGAUCAUAUAAAAGGAUCGCAAACAGAAGAUAUUGAUAGAAUUUUGGAUGAUGCAGGUCCCUAUCAAAGACUAGUUGGAAGAUUGCUCUAUCUAACAAUGACCAGAGUUGACAUCACCUAUGUAGUGCAAGUGCUAAGUCAGUUUAUGCACAAACCAAAACAAUCACAUAUGGAGGCUGCCUUGAGGGUAGUAAGAUAUAUUAAAGCUGAGCCUGGACUUGGUUUACUUAUGCCUUCAGAAGACACAGACAAGUUAACAGCAUAUUGUGACUCUGAUUGGGGAGGAUGUAUUGAGUCAAGGAGGUCUGUCACUGGCUACAUUGUAAUGUUUGGUAAUGCUUUAGUGUCUUGGAAGUCGAAGAAACAAGACACAGUAUCCAGAAGCUCAGCAGAAGCUGAGUUCAGAUCCAUGGCUUCUACUGUGGCUGAAAUAACUUGGCUAGAAGGCAUGUAUAAAGAGUUGGGUGUUAGCAUCAGUCGACCAGUGCAGCUGUUUUGUGAUAGUAAAGCUGCUAUUCAAAUUGCAGCUAAUCCAAUAUUUCAUGAGAGAACUAAACAUAUAGACAUCGAUUGUCAUUUUGUAAGGGAGAAGAUAGUACAAAAUUUAGUUCAAACACAACAUGUAUCUACAAAGGAGCAGUUGGCUGACUUGCUUACUAAGAGUCUGGGCAGACUAUCCCAUGACUACUUAAUGUCCAAGCUUGGUUUGAAGAAUCUCUUCCAACCAUUAGCUUGAGGAGGGGUGUGAAGUUAUACGUAUAUGCCAGCUGUCCAAUUAAGUUUAAUUAAAGAUGUUUGUGAUUAAUUAGUUGAUUAGUUAGUUUGUUAAACAAGUUAGUUACAAUUCUGUCAGAGUUAGUUAAGCUGUAGUAUUUAGCUUUAAAUACAGAUGUAUGAGCUUUGCUCAAGUUAGUUGUGUUGAUUGAUAAUGAGAAGGUUUCUGGGUUUCUCUUCUCCCAUGUAUCGUCACACAUCUCCUCUAUAAUCUUCUCCAUUGUUGAAUACUCUGCAUCUUAUCAAGAAGAAAAACGUGGACUCUAUUCAAUUGGCGAAAAAUUGAUCGUAUCUUUGAAGUACAUCAAGUGAACUCUUUAAAUAGAGUUUUACUCACAGAAAUAAUAACGUAGCAAUCCACUAACUCCUACGAUUACUCAACAACUAACAAAUUAAAAGGAUUCUCCUGCUUCUAUUCAACUACCUACUUAUUUGCUAAAGACUCUGUCAACUAAAACACUAGCUAACAAAUGAAAUGAAAGAGAAAAAACAAUAACUAACAGUUUCUACUCUGUGUUACUCCACAUGGUUAUUUUGAUAAGAUGGAGAUUUUUCGGUGGAUUCAUGCAGCAACGAGGCGAAAUGUUCAAGAAGUUGUGUUAGAAUUUACUCUUUGUGAGCCAUUAGAGUUACCAAUUUGUCUUGCAACUUGUGAAUCUUUGCAAGUUUUAAAGCUAAACCUGCCCAGGGAUAUACUUAAACUGCCUAAUCAUUUUGGAUUUCGUCAGCUGAAAUUGCUCCAUCUUGAGGAUGUCGAGUUAUCGGACAAACAUUCCCCAAAUUGCUUCAUCUCAAAAUGUCAUCAACUCAAAAGUUUGAUCUUACAUGAAUGUGGUUUAGGAGCUAUUACACUACUUUUUAUCGCUUCCACAUCUCUUAGUUCUGUUACUAUUAUAGCGGACUAUUAUUAUGAGGAUGAGUAUGGCAAAUGCGAACUCCCCAAUCUCAAAUUCUUAAAUUAUGAAGCUCCAAUGCCAAAUGAUAUAAUCAUCGAGAAUCUGUUUUCAAUAGAUGUUAGUAUCGCGUUUACCAAUACACGUGCGGACACUCAGAUAUUUGUGCAUAAGAUGAUCAAGGAAUUAAGUUUCUUUUACAUCAGUUUUGGCACUAUGCAAUGAUUCUAUUUUGGUAAAGUUCUCUUCAUAAAAGGGGAAUACAAAUAUUUAAAAAGAUAUACACGUACAAUUUUUAAACAUAAAGUCUUAAGUCCUUAUAAAAAUAUAUUAACAGUCUAAGUAUUUAUCGUUAAAAAAAUAUACUUAAGUAUUUUCUUAGUUGUUUGGAGGGCUUGUUGGUAGCUUUUCAAUUAGUCUCUUUAUUACUGAUAAAUUUCUCACUACUUAGCUGUAAAAAAAUAAAUCCAAGAAGUUUCUCACUUCUUAGUCAUAAGAAAAAUUCUCAUUUCUAGUAUUUUUGUUUGUGUAGGGUAUGUAUAAAUUAAAGCAGCUAGUAAAGAAAGGCUCUCCCUCGUCUCCUUUUAUAAGUUGAAGACCUUAAACUGUAUGCGAGAGUUGAUGGUGAUUUUAUUCUAGCUAUGAUAUUAUUGCUCAAGUAUUCUCCUAAUCUGGAGGUUCUACAGUUGCUGUCUUACUAGGUAAAGCUCUUCAUUUUUUUUAUCACAAAUUUUGUGCACAAAUUCCAUUUCUUUUAUAUUGUAGUCGGAAAUACUUGUAAGUUUUUGUUGCCUAAAAAAAAAUGACUUGUAAGUUUUGUGACAUAAAACUAGAAGUUGAUAAACAUGGAAGGUAUCUUUGAAAAACAAAUGCCGGUGAAACUAGGCUCAAGGACUAUCGUCUCUAAAAUUUCCAAGGAAAGGUUCAAUGGUAAUUGCUUUGUCAUUGCAACAAUGCUAAACUAUGAACCUAUAUUCGAGAAAACAUAUCUUGACAAGCAAAAAUCUACCGACCAAAAUGGUAGACAUACCACAGUGAAAGGAAUAGGAUCUGACUUAAAAUUGGGUUUAACUUUUAACCUUUACCUAGGAAGUUGGCAACUAUAACCUGUUUACUCAUGCCAUAUGAUUUAAAUCACGUUUGCACCUAAGGGUGUGGCCUAGUUGUCAAUGAAGUGAUUGAGAACCAUGAGGUCUCGGUUCAAUUCCCAGUGGAGACAAAAAAUACUAGGUGAUUCUUCCAUAUGUCCUUUGUUGCUAGCGGGAGGUGACAAGUAUCUUGUGAACUUAGCCGAGGUGCGCGCAAGCUGGCCUGGACACCAUGGUAAUAAAAAAAAUGAUUUAAUCGCAUUUGCUGCAUAAUACUUAAUGUUUACAUCCCUACUCUAUUCAAAUAGGGAGAAACGUCGCGGUGACUCAAAAAAUAAUCAGUUAAUUAAAUUUUGAAUUUUUUUAAAGAUUAAACGAAUUUUAAAGGAGUCGCCACCUAAUUUUAAGAAAACUAGGAAACCAAUUAAAUAAUCUACGAAACCAAGAGAUUCUAGGUAAGGGGUUCAAGUUAUUUCGAAGGGAAGGGGUUAAGCAUCCUUUGAAAUCCACAAAUGUGGAUCCCGACUGAAUUCAUUUUUUUUCAAAUUGAGGAGGAGAAUAAAAUAAUGUACAAAUAUAAUAAACAUGCAAUAUACACAAGUAAUAAAGUAGACAAGUAAUAUGAGAAACAACUUAAUAUUUGUCUAUCGUCAACAAUAUACAUCAUAAUGAAUAUAACAUUCGAACUUUAUUCGAAUGACUUUGAUGAGAAGUGACUUCGGAGUACCUGUAAAGACACUUAGUAAAAGUGUUAGUACUAAAUAAAUAUGACUAAAAGUAAAUGAAUUAGACAACAACUUAAAAAUAAACAUCCGUCUUAUUAACAUGAGAGGCCUUAGAAAUCGACGGUAAUUUCUUCAUCGGCCAUUUUUAACAAAUAAAAUAUAUAAACUUAAACUAAAUUUCCGUCUUUUACAAUGUAAAGGCCUCCAAAAUCGACGGAGAGAUUUUCUCAUUGACCAUUUUUAACAAACAAAAAAUUAAAUCCACAAAUAAACCAAUGAUAACGCAAUGGUAAAAUGAAAUAAUAAUAAGCAAGAUUAUAUUCCGAUCCAAAGUAAUCAACGAAGUAAACCACAAAAACUAUCAAAAGACAAACCACAUAUAUAUAGAAACAAUCAUUAAAAGAUUAUUGGAAAAGAGUCUAAAAGUAACAUAAAAUUAACAACUAGAUAUGAUAGCUAAGUAAUUGAUUUUAACAUUAUAACAAUAACAAAAUAAUCAAAAGACGGUAAUAAGCAAAACAAAAUAGAACAUUGGAAAGUGGCAAACAAAUACAAAAAGAAACAUUUGAACAGUAGCUUGAGAUUUUUUUAUUUUUGUAAACAUGUUUAUCAUCAAAAUAUAUAUAUAUAUUAAAUAAUAACAAAUAAGGGUAAGCAAAUCUAGGAAAAUUAUACACCAACAACUAUAACGUUAAGUGGUCAAACAAAUGUCAGCAAUAAAAUAAACAAAAAUAAUAGUAAUAAAAAUAAAUAAAAUAAUGUAGAUCAAUGAACAGGAAAAGAGGUUAGCUAGUUAUAAAUGAAGUUUGACCGAAGUUUAAUCUUUCCGGUGAAAUCUGAAAUGAGAUAAUAUACACUAUUUUACUUGAACAAAAAUAAUAACAUGAAAAUAAUUCAAAUCAGUUUCAACAAUCAUAAUAAAUAAAUAAUAACCAACAAAGAGAACAAAAUAUCAGUAAUAAGAAUCAAACCCAACAAAAAUAAAAUAGAACAAAGGUAACAAAUGAAGUUUCAACUCAAGCAAAAAGCCAAAACAUUAAUAUCCACCGGAGAAGAUAAAAUAUUGUUGGAAAAAAUAUUGGCCGGAGUUUGAACUUCUUCGGCCAGAUCUGAAAGAAAAAUGAAAUGAAAGAGAAAUAGUUUAUUUACCGGAGUUGGAGUAUUCGGACUGAAUCUGGUCUUUUAAUGCAACUGAUUCCGCCAGAGAGUGUGGGAUUUGUUCGAGUCCUGUUCGGAGCUUUGAGCUUCUUCACCAUAGAUCUGCAAAAAAAAACAACAAUAAAUAUCGUAAAAGGGAAAGGGGAGGGGAAUGGUUCGAUUUCCUUGUUAUUUGCUCCGCCUGAGCCUCGAGCUCUGCCAGAAAUGGUGCUUCUGGUUGGCUGGGUGUUGUGGUUUGGUGGUUCUCCGGCAGUGAACUGGUGGAGCUCGAAAAAUGGGGUUUUGGACAGUGAUUCUCUCGUAGUAGUGAGGAGAAUAGAGGUGGUUAGUGAGAAGAGAGGGAUGGCCAGUGGGGUUUGGUGGUGACUGGCCGGAAAGUUCACCGGAAAGGCAAUGAACAGUAUAUAAAAAAAUAAAGUAAAAUAGCUCUGAAAAUUGAACCCCCAUUAUAAAAUUUAUCCACCCCCUUGACCUAAUAGACAAAUUAUUCUUUAUAUAGGGAGUUGAAAACUACAAUAUCACUAUUUUAAAAUGGUCGAUUAAAAUUAUCGGUCAAUAAAAUAUCUGUGUAUGAAAUAUUACCUAUAUCAUAAUAAAUUUUGGAUUGUGCAAAAUAUCAAAAUGAAUAUUAACAAAUGUAACAAGUAAAAAUGAAUAUUAAAAAAUAUAUAUAUAAUGAACGUAACUAAUGACAUGUAAAAUGCAAUUUUAAGAUUAACUGAUAAAAGAGAAAUCCUAAAUUUUGAUAAAUAAGGAUAGUCAUCGAUAAACUUAUUUAAAAUUAUAAAAAAUAUAUUUUAAACUAUUAAAUAAAUAAAACUUAAAAGUUACGAAUUUUGAAAAUGUUAGGCCAAAAUUGAGUGUCAACANNNNNNNNNNNNNNNNNNNNNNNNNNNNNNNNNNNNNNNNNNNNNNNNNNNNNNNNNNNNNNNNNNNNNNNNNNNNNNNNNNNNNNNNNNNNNNNNNNNNNNNNNNNNNNNNNNNNNNNNNNNNNNNNNNNNNNNNNNNNNNNNNNNNNNNNNNNNNNNNNNNNNNNNNNNNNNNNNNNNNNNNNNNNNNNNNNNNNNNNNNNNNNNNNNNNNNNNNNNNNNNNNNNNNNNNNNNNNNNNNNNNNNNNNNNNNNNNNNNNNNNNNNNNNNNNNNNNNNNNNNNNNNNNNNNNNNNNNNNNNNNNNNNNNNNNNNNNNNNNNNNNNNNNNNNNNNNNNNNNNNNNNNNNNNNNNNNNNNNNNNNNNNNNNNNNNNNNNNNNNNNNNNNNNNNNNNNNNNNNNNNNNNNNNNNNNNNNNNNNNNNNNNNNNNNNNNNNNNNNNNNNNNNNNNNNNNNNNNNNNNNNNNNNNNNNNNNNNNNNNNNNNNNNNNNNNNNNNNNNNNNNNNNNNNNNNNNNNNNNNNNNNNNNNNNNNNNNNNNNNNNNNNNNNNNNNNNNNNNNNNNNNNNNNNNNNNNNNNNNNNNNNNNNNNNNNNNNNNNNNNNNNNNNNNNNNNNNNNNNNNNNNNNNNNNNNNNNNNNNNNNNNNNNNNNNNNNNNNNNNNNNNNNNNNNNNNNNNNNNNNNNNNNNNNNNNNNNNNNNNNNNNNNNNNNNNNNNNNNNNNNNNNNNNNNNNNNNNNNNNNNNNNNNNNNNNNNNNNNNNNNNNNNNNNNNNNNNNNNNNNNNNNNNNNNNNNNNNNNNNNNNNNNNNNNNNNNNNNNNNNNNNNNNNNNNNNNNNNNNNNNNNNNNNNNNNNNNNNNNNNNNNNNNNNNNNNNNNNNNNNNNNNNNNNNNNNNNNNNNNNNNNNNNNNNNNNNNNNNNNNNNNNNNNNNNNNNNNNNNNNNNNNNNNNNNNNNNNNNNNNNNNNNNNNNNNNNNNNNNNNNNNNNNNNNNNNNNNNNNNNNNNNNNNNNNNNNNNNNNNNNNNNNNNNNNNNNNNNNNNNNNNNNNNNNNNNNNNNNNNNNNNNNNNNNNNNNNNNNNNNNNNNNNNNNNNNNNNNNNNNNNNNNNNNNNNNNNNNNNNNNNNNNNNNNNNNNNNNNNNNNNNNNNNNNNNNNNNNNNNNNNNNNNNNNNNNNNNNNNNNNNNNNNNNNNNNNNNNNNNNNNNNNNNNNNNNNNNNNNNNNNNNNNNNNNNNNNNNNNNNNNNNNNNNNNNNNNNNNNNNNNNNNNNNNNNNNNNNNNNNNNNAAUUCACAACAACCAUUGGACGCAUGACGUACCAAUAAAUCGCCGAUCCUUCUGGAAAAGGGUUGAGUAUAAAAAAGUCCGGCUGCGGUUCCGCAAAAUCGUUCUUUAAUAUACUAUACAUACAACAGAAAUAUCAUGAAAUGCAUCAACAAUUUAUAUACAAUUUAAACAAAUAAUGAAUAAAUAACAAGUAUAAUAUACAAAUAAUCAACAAAAUAUACAAGAUAUGAUGAACAACAUAAUAAAACAACAACUCCUCAAUUAGAAAAAAUAUACUCAUAAUGGUUAAAACCUCUGUAUCCCCAGCGGAGUCGCCAUUCUGUUUACAUCCCUACUCUAUUCGAAUAGGGCGAAACGUCACGGUGACUCAAAAAAUAAUCAAUUGAUUCAAUUUUGAAAGAAUUUUAAGAAUAAACGAAUUUUAAAGGAGUCGCCACCUAAUUUUAGGAAAAAAUAGGAAACCAUUUAAGUGAUCUACGAAACUAUUAGAUUCUAGGUAAGGGGUUCAAGUUAUUUCGAAGGGAAGGGGUUAAGCAUCCUUUGAAAUCCACAAAUGUGGAUCCCGACUGAAUUCAUUUUUUUUCAAAUUGAGGAGGAGAAUAAAAUAAUGUACAAAUAUAAUAAACAUGCAAUAUACACAAGUAAUAAAGUAGACAAGUAAUAUGAGAAACAACUUAAUAUUUGUCUAUCGUCAACAAUAUACAUCAUAAUGAAUAUAACAUUCGAACUUUAUUCGAAUGACUUUGAUGAGAAGUGACUUCGGAGUACCUGUAAAGACACUUAGUAAAAGUGUUAGUAAUAAAUAAAUAUGAAUAAAAAUAAGUGAAUUAAACAAUAACUUAAAAAUAAACAUCCGUCUUAUUAACAUGAGAGGCCUUAGAAAUCGACGGUAAUUUCUUCAUCGGCCAUUUUUAACAAAUAAAAUAUAUAAACUUAAACUAAAUUUUCGUCUUUUACAAUGUAAAGGCCUCCAAAAUCGACGGAGAGAUUUUCUCAUUGACCAUUUUUAACAAACAAAAAAUUAAAUCCACAAAUAAACCAAUGAUAACGCAAUGGUAAAAUGAAAUAAUAAUAAGCAAGAUUAUAUUCCGAUCCAAAGUAAUCAACGAAGUAAACCACAAAAACUAUCAAAAGACAAACCACAUAUAUAUAGAAACAAUCAUUAAAAGAUUAUUGGAAAAGAGUCUAAAAGUAACAUAAAAUUAACAACUAGAUAUGAUAGCUAAGUAAUUGAUUUUAACAUUAUAACAAUAACAAAAUAAUCAAAAGACGGUAAUAAGCAAAACAAAAUAGAACAUUGGAAAGUGGCAAACAAAUACAAAAAGAAACAUUUGAACAGUAGCUUGAGAUUUUUUUAUUUUUGUAAACAUGUUUAUCAUCAAAAUAUAUAUAUAUAUUAAAUAAUAACAAAUAAGGGUAAGCAAAUCUAGGAAAAUUAUACACCAACAACUAUAACGUUAAGUGGUCAAACAAAUGUCAGCAAUAAAAUAAACAAAAAUAAUAGUAAUAAAAAUAAAUAAAAUAAUGUAGAUCAAUGAACAGGAAAAGAGGUUAGCUAGUUAUAAAUGAAGUUUGACCGAAGUUUAAUCUUUCCGGUGAAAUCUGAAAUGAGAUAAUAUACACUAUUUUACUUGAACAAAAAUAAUAACAUGAAAAUAAUUCAAAUCAGUUUCAACAAUCAUAAUAAAUAAAUAAUAACCAACAAAGAGAACAAAAUAUCAGUAAUAAGAAUCAAACCCAACAAAAAUAAAAUAGAACAAAGGUAACAAAUGAAGUUUCAACUCAAGCAAAAAGCCAAAACAUUAAUAUCCACCGGAGAAGAUAAAAUAUUGUUGGAAAAAAUAUUGGCCGGAGUUUGAACUUCUUCGGCCAGAUCUGAAAGAAAAAUGAAAUGAAAGAGAAAUAGUUUAUUUACCGGAGUUGGAGUAUUCGGACUGAAUCUGGUCUUUUAAUGCAACUGAUUUCGCCAGAGAGUGUGGGAUUUGUUCGAGUCCUGUUCGGAGCUUUGAGCUUCUUCACCAUAGAUCUGCAAAAAAAACAACAAUAAAUAUCGUAAAAGGGAAAGGGGAGGGGAAUGGUUCGAUUUCCUUGUUAUUUGCUCCGCCUGAGCCUCGAGCUCUGCCAGAAAUGGUGCUUCUGGUUGGCUGGGUGUUGUGGUUUGGUGGUUCUCCGACAGUGAACUGGUGGAGCUCGAAAAAUGGGGUUUUGGACAGUGAUUCUCUCGUAGUAGUGAGGAGAAUAGAGGUGGUUAGUGAGAAGAGAGGGAUGGCCAGUGGGGUUUGGUGGUGACUGGCCGGAAAGUUCACCGGAAAGGCAAUGAACAGUAUAUAAAAAAAUAAAGUAAAAUAGCUCUGAAAAUUGAACCCCCAUUAUAAAAUUUAUCCACCCCCUUGACCUAAUAGACAAAUUAUUCUUUAUAUAGGGAGUUGAAAACUACAAUAUCACUAUUUUAAAAUGGUCGAUUAAAAUUAUCGGUCAAUAAAAUAUCUGUGUAUGAAAUAUUACCUAUAUCAUAAUAAAUUUUGGAUUGUGCAAAAUAUCAAAAUGAAUAUUAACAAAUGUAACAAAUAAAAAUGAGUAUUAAAAAAUAUAUAUAUAAUGAACGUAACUAAUGACAUGUAAAAUGCAAUUUUAAGAUUAACUGAUAAAAGAGAAAUCCUAAAUUUUGAUAAAUAAGGAUAGUCAUCGAUAAACUUAUUUAAAAAUAUAAAAAAUAUAUUUUAAACUAUUAAAUAAAUAAAACUUAAAAGUUACGAAUUUUGAAAAUGUUAGGCCAAAAUUGAGUGUCAACACUUAAUGGUAGAAAUAUAUAUGAACUGUGUAUCGUUGUGGCAAAGUUUAGAUAGGGUGAACUUUCGGUAUUUUUGGUUUGGUUUUAAGAACUUUGGUAUUUGGGUUUUUGAUUGUCUUUAUCGAAUAUCGAACCGUUGUUAGCUCGGUUCAGUUUUUUCUUGUUUGCUUCGGUUCAAUUUCGGUUUUUUGGUAUGAGCUUAGUAUACUUAAUUAUAUUCUGCUUAAAAUGGCAAAAAUCAAUUUGGGCGUGACGAUUUGUUAGAAACUAAAUAUCACAUCAAAAUAAAUUGAGUUAGGAUUUGAUGCCAAUGUUAUUUAGGAAAAUCUCAUGGUUAUUUUUCAAUUGACUUUCUUAAUUUCUUAUGAUGCUGUUUUGUGCCUAGAUGAAGUCAUAAAGGAUCACGUUAACCUUUUAUAGUGCUGAAAUAAAGAGAAAAACUUUUUUGCCUUCCAUUGGGACCAUGAUUCAUGUCUGUUUUUCCCACUGUUGGACAAACUCGACAUAAGUCAUGUAAAUACGUAGGAAGGCGUUUUUUUUUUCACGUAGUUAAUUAAAUUGACAUUAUGAACGUUAAUACUUCGUCAAGAUCUUAUGAGUUCUUUAUCCCAUUUGUCCUAGCCUUGGUGGACAGAGUUACCUAGUACAUGUUGUUGGUUGGAGGUGGCAGGUAUUCAUGCAAUUAGUUGAGCAUGCAAGCUAGCUCGGACACUACAAUUAUUAAAAAGAAAAAGAGAAGAACUUAUGAGUUCCUUAAAUUGACAUUGCUAACAUCUAUAUCUUGACAUGAGGCACACAAAUGCUAAAAGGUGAGAGGAAAAAAACAAGCAGUUAUCCUUAAUAUUUCAACAAAAGGAGUACAAGUUGGGAAUGAGUUCUUUGGAGCUACUAUAACAAUCUUCCACAUCUCAAAACGCUCAAAGUGAUUGCAAAAGAAGAUAGAAAUGAGAGGAAAAAAGUCUUGAAGUCUAGCUAAAUAAUGAGUUAGACCUGAAACUUGGUCUACCAUAGUAGUCUACCAAAUAGUUUUGUAUUUUUUGUUUAUCGAAAUAUAUCUUAAAUACGAACCAAUUAUUUUAAAAAAAAAAUCAAAAACGAAAACCAAUUGAAGAACCAAAUUUAUUCAGUUCGGUGCAACUUUUCAGUUUUAUGCCCACCCCUAAGUCUGAGAGGCAGUGUUAUCAAAGGCGCGCUUAAACCCUGAAGCGAGGCUCUAAAUGUGUUGAGUGCUUCGCCUCGCUUUAGGUGCGCUUCAGUGUCAUCAUCAAGGUUCUAAGACAAGCUUUUCCUUGCCAAUGAGCGUCUUAUGAAAUAGUGACACAAAGCAAUUGAUAUUUACUUUAUCAUUAAAAAAAAUUCAAUUUCUUUGGUCAUAUAUUUGCCAUUUAUGUUUAUUAUUAUUAGUCUCGGACUAAACAUAUAUAUUUGUAUUUUUUUCUCCCUUUGCGCCUUUUUUAAUCAAAACCCACGCUUUAUUUGCUCUUUACAUUUAAAGCCCCACGAACCUUAGAGCUUUUUAGCGCUUUUCGCCUUUGAUAACACUGCUGAGAGGAUGACACAACUUAAAGGAGCAUUAAGUUGAUAAAUGAAGGAGAAUUGUGCCUUGAACAAUAUCUUUAUUAAAAAAAAAUUCCAGCAAUCAUAGUAUCUAAAUUUGGCUAUAAGCUGAGGUUAGAGAGCUUUACUAAAUUAAUUUAUUUUCAUUGUAAAAAAUAAAGAUGUAUAAAUGGCACCGACAGAUUCUGAAAUCAGCUCAUAUGGAUGCUAGAACUUUGGAUUUGUAUGUUUCAAAUGUUCUCAUGCGCAAGAUAUGUGGUCUAAGGGGAGCAUUAGUAUAAAUUCACUUGGCCUAAUGAGAAGAUUGCUUGCUUAGAUGACCUGAGAUGAGCAAGAUGUUUGUUAGAUGGAUGGCAUGGUUUGAGUAGUAGGUACCGUGCUCCGAAAUAUGAACAGAUCACUGGGAGUUUUAAUGCACCUGUGAUGCCUAGGGGAAAAAGAGAAGUUCCAAUGAGAAGUAGUCCAAACAUUUUUAUAGUGGAUCUUGUUUGACAUUUUCACUUGUAAUGUAGGAAAUGGGUGCUUAUGCUGUUGGGUAAUUGCUUAUUGUUGUUUCAAUAUAAGUAUUCACUGAAAUGGUUUCUAUACUAACUCUCAUCUGUCUGCUAGUAUGAUGGCUUGAGCCGGAAUAUGAAUUGGCAGAUGCAUGAUCUUGAUGAAAGCAUUGUGUGCUUGGAGUCUCAUCUAAAGUCAAUUCGUUUGAUUGAUUUCAAAGGUGAAGAAAACGAGAUAAAACUACUAAAGUUUUUUCUGAAGAAUGCACCAGUGUUGGAAAAACUGACUAUUUUCUGGGUGAAGUAUCCUGAUAAAUCAGAAGAGGCUUUAGAGAAGGUUUUAAAGCUUCCUAAAACUUCUUCACAGGUUGUUCUGACAUUUCUCGAUGCCAAGCCCCAACCAAGUUCUCGUAAAUGUUACGAUAGAUAAUUCAAAAUGACUCGACCUGGGAGAUGGUUAUUCGAUUGUUGGAUGUACUCUUAUUGGGAAUUCUCUUGAAGAUACAAGCCAGAACCAAACUGUAUAAUAAAUUACAUUGAUCCGUGGUUUUUAUGGAACCGCUAUAGUUGUUUCAUGUUUCAUGUUUGGACUGCUAUAGAGUAGCUAAGAGGAAGGUCAAGUCUUAUUUCUACUGGAAAGUAUCAAGCAGGGUGUGGUUAACUUCCUUUAUAAGUGCCAAAGAAGCAAUUUUAGUGCUUCCUAAACACUGAUUUUUUGCAACUAUUGAUACUGUUUGCUCAGAAAUCAAUGUGUAUUUCAUAGAAACACGUCUUCAUAUCUCCUUUAAACUACAUGAAAUGCUUGCUAUUAUUAUGAGUUGUCGAGAUCCUAUUUUCAUCAGCUCAAUCUGCCAAGAGGUUUUUGUUUUUUGCUUCAUACUUCAACAUAUCAUCCUCUGAAGCAUCCUCAAUCGGUGUCUCGACGCUUAUUUGAUGUACAUAUAUACAAGUACUUGUAAAGCUCUGGGAAAUGGGUGACUAGAGCUUUUUACCACUUGAAUAGCAGAAAAUGACUUUAUUAAUUUUUUUUAGUUUCAAUAAAUUGUAAAAAAAAAUUCAAUUUCAAUUCAAACUCUAUCUAGAGCACUAUGUUUUAAAUAGUUUCAGGUCAAUAAAAAAUCUAACUUACAUUUUUGGGUUAAAAAUUAUCAUGUUAAUCCAAACCAAACAAACUCUAAUAAUUUUGGGGAAAAACGUUAUAUUUUCAUUCUUUUCUUUUUGAGCAACUUUCACAUAUAGCAAACAUAAAAAUCAUAUUUGUAUGCUAUAACUAUAGUUUGCAUAAUUGCGCUCUAUAGCAAACAUAAAUAUGUAUAUUUUGCUAUACACAUACAAAGAAAACAGUUGUAUAAUUCGCUAUACAUAUACAAAGAAAGCAUUUGUAUAAUUCGUUAUACAUAUACAAAAGAAAGCGCUUGUAUAAUCUGUUUCGGUAUACAUAUACAAAAGAUCAAUUGUAUAAUAUGUGUUUGUAUAAAGCGAGGAAGAGAGAAAAACAAAAGAAAACUGAGCAGGGGAAGAUUAUAUUUGUAUAAUCAUAAGUGUAUAUGACGAAAAUAUAUGCAUUUGUAUUUGUAUAUAUAAUUUUCUCUCGCUUUAUACAAACACAAACGCAAUGUAUACAUUUGUGUUUGUAUAAAGUGAGAGAGGCAAGUGAGAGUGGCGAGCGAGAUCUAGGAGAGGAGAGACAAGAGAACGAAAAUAUAUGUAUAUAUAUAAUUUUCUCUCGCUUCAUACAAACACAAACACAUUUUAUACAUUUGUGUUUGUAUAAAAGCGAGAGAGGUGAGCGAGACUGCCACCAAAACGAGAGAGGCGAGCGAGAUUCCACCAGGGAGAGAGGCAAAAAUAGCAAUAGUUUGUUAUAUGGUACAAUUAAAUCAAGGGCAAAUUACAGAAAUCACAUACUUUUAAGGCAAAAUUACAAUUUAUCCCUUAAAAGUUUAUAAUUACAGAAAUCCCUCAAACGGAUACAAUAAUAUAAACGUUGAUACAUUAAUCUGAUGCGCGAGAUACAUUAAUUAUUAAGUAAGAUACAUUACAUUUUAUAUAUUAUAUUAAAUAUCAAACUAUGUUUAUAGCAUUUAAUUUAAAUUAAUAGUUUGUUAUUAUAUACAAUUUUUCUUAUUUUUUUGCCAAAGAGGGAAAACCUUAUAGCAAAGUCCAACGACGGCCGUUUUCUUCUCUCUCCCAUCGGUUCAUACAGACCGGGACUGGUGACCUUUGUUGAGUUUUGCUAUCAGGGUGCCAUUUUUACCUAUCGUAUAUCUUCAUAACAAGGUAAAUUUGUUGGUAUUUUCAGCUUUCUACUCAUUCAAAUCGGAAUUUAUAAUGGAAGUAUCAACCAGAAAACCUAAGAUUUCCAGUACCAGUACAGGGAUUGAUAGAAUAAGCUCAUUGCCAGAUGAUGUACUUCACAACAUACUUUCAUAUCUCUUUAUUUUUUAUGUGGUUCAGUUGAGUAUGUUAUCGAAAAGAUGGAGAUAUGUAUGGACUACAAUGCCUUACUUGCACUUUGAUAUUGAUCAAUUUUAUCCACAACGGUAUUGUGAUUUUGUAAUAGCUGGGAGAUUUAAAGACUUCAUCAAUUGGGUAUUGAUUUCCCAAGGUGACUUUAAUAAACUUGUUCAGUUUCUUCUCUGUUUUGACAAUUUGUUUGAUGAGUCAACUAUUUUGCGAUGGAUUAAUCAUGUGACUACAAGGCGAAAUGUACAAGAACUUGUGUUAAAAUUUCGUCUUGGUAAGCCAUUUGAGUUACCGUAUUGUCUUGUAACGUAUCGUUGCAAGUUUUGAAACUACACUUGUCUGGGGAUGUACUUAAACUGCCUAAUUCUGUGGGAUUUCAUCAGCUGAAGUUGCUUCAUCUUGAUGCUAUUGCUCAAGUAUUCUCCUAAUCUGGAGGUUCUUAAAUUUUGGUCUGAUGAGGUAAAGGUUGUCUUCGUUUUCACUAAUUCUUCUGUAGAAAACCGUUUUUCUAUAUGGUAGUUGCUCAGAAGGACUUGUAAGUAAAACUAGAUAAGGUUGAUUAACAUGAAGGAUCUUUCAAGAACAGAAGGUGAGAAACUAGGAUUAAAAACUGACAUCACUAAAUCUUCCAAGGAAAAGUUGACUUAUAAUUGAUGCUACAUUAUCUCUAUUUUCGAGUAAUUUGACCCUAACAAGCAAAUUCCACUCACCAAAAAUGCUAAACAUGCCACAAUGAGAGGGAGAAUCUGCUAAUCAUCAAUUAUAAUUUUUAACACACACUUUGUAGUUGGCAUGUCAGUUUAAAAUCACAUUUGCUGCAUUGAUUUUAAUGUUUGAAUCAUAUUUACUUCAUGGAUUUUAAUGUUUGAAAUAGAUUUAAACUGUAAAGUAAUGUGGGGAAAAUCUGAGAAGAAUUGAGAUGAUAUUACAACUUUAGGGAGCAUUAAGUUGAUAAAUGGAGAAAUUUACACUGAGAUUCUAAAAUCAACUUAUUUCAAUGCUAGAACUUUGGAGAUGUGUUUCAAAUGUGUUUAUGCACAAAAUAUAUGGUCUAAAGGGAGCAGUAGUUUAAUCCUGCUGCAUACAAACAUAAAUCCUGGUGAGUGGAUAGGUCACUGGAUAAUUUAAUGCAUCAGUAGAACUUAUGGGAAAAGAAAAAUCCAAAGAGAAGUAAAUGAUCCAAGACAUUUUAGAAAUGAAUCCUGUUUGACAUUUCCACUUUUAAUCGAGGAAUGGUUGCCUACACUGCUGAAUGAUUAAUUAUUGCUAUUCAUUUAUUGCUGUUUUGAUAUAAGAGCUUACUAUGCCCGAUGAAGUGGUUUCUCUACUGACUCUCAACCGUCUGCUAGAGUGUAGACGAGAGUGUAAAUUGGCAGCUGCUUGAUCUCGAUGAAAGCAUUGUGUGCUUGGAAUCCCAUCUAAAGUCAAUUCAUUUGACUGGUUUCAAAGGUGAAGAAAACGAGAUAGAACUACUGAAGUUUUUCCUGAAGAAUGCACAAGUAUUGGAAAAACUGAUGAUUUUCUGGGAAAUGGACAUGGAUAAGUCAGAAGAAGCAUCAGAGGAAGUUUUGAACUUUCCUAGAACUUCUUCACACGUUGUUCUGACGUUUCUUGAUGCCAAGCCCAAGCAAAGAUCCAUAAGUGGUACAAUAGAUAUUCAAAAUGACUCGACCUAGGAGAGAAUUAUUCGAUUGUUGGAUGUCUCUUAUUGAGAUUUCUUUUAAAGAUUCAAGUCUGAACCAGACUAUAAGCAAUUUCAUUGGACUGUGAUGUUUACGGAACUUCUAUUGCUGUUCUGCGUUUAAUGUUUGAACUGCUAGAGAGUAACUAGGAAAGUCAUGUCUUUUUCCAAUGGGGAAGUAUCAUGCAGGAUACCAAAAUUCUGGUAUUGUUUUGCUUCGACACUUAAAGAUCCCCUGCUUUGCUAGAAGGGCACUUUGCUGAAGUCUUUAAAGCUGUUUGUGGCUUUAUGUUGAUGACGAUUUAAUGCAAGUUAUGAUAUUAUUGCUCAAGCAUUCUCCUAAUCUGGAGGUUCUUAAAUCAUGGCCUGAUUAGGUAAUGCUGCUCAUCAAUUAUUUUUUUUGGUAAUUCUGUAUAAAUUCUGUUAUAUGGUAGUUGGUGUUGCAAGUUUUGUUAAAAUAGAGUCUGAUUUACGCGAAAGGAUUCUUUGGAUGACAGGCUGAACCAUGUCUUGCAUACUGGAGUCCAAAACUCAGAACAGAUUGGCCCAACUGAUUUUAAACUCGGAUAAGUUAUGGAUAUAUACUAUUCGGCCAAUUAGUUUUCCAACAUGAUUGAAACAUACACUAACGUAUAUACUAUCAAUGUAUAUAUUUACCACGAGUCAUGUUUGAUCAGUACCCUCUUCUCGGACUCUCAUUCAACACUGCUUUACAAUUAUUAUUAUUAUUUACGUGUGAGGGAGGAGAGUAUGCAGUAAACAAAAAACACUACGAUCACUGAAUCACAUGUUAAAAUUCAAUUAUAAGACGAAUUGUAACAAUAGAACAAUAGUACUGGUGCAAAGUCAUGUGUACCCCAGUUGGGGUGACACAGUACACUAGUGAUAAUGUUGGUCAUUAGUUGCCACCUUAGUAUAAGGUCAAUGCAUAAAAAGACAUUGACAAUAUCUACCUAACGUGCAACUCCAACUAUUAUCCACUUUAGCCAUAUCACAACUCACAAGUUUGUACUAUUUUUUUUCAAAAAGAGAAGAAUUUUAGAGGAAAAGAACAAAGUAUAAAUUGCCCAAAGAUAGAAGUAUUAUUUUCACGAUUCGACUAUGAGACAUUGUUGAUAGGAUUUUCAAGAUUCGACUAUGAGACAUUGGAUUAAAGCAAAGAAACCCAAACAUUUCAUGCACCUAUAUAUAUCAGGAGUUCUUUAGUUGGUGGAAUAAGAAAUCAUUAACAAUCCGUGUGGAAUUGCCUUAUCCCAAAUUUGAUACAACUUUUAAAUCUGAGAUUAACAAUUCCUAGAUUUUUGUUUUUAUCUCACACUCUUAACAUUUCGAAAUUACUAAUUUCGAGAUAAGAAUAACAAAUUCUGUCACAUUUUCCUUUCUGAUCUUGAAAGCUUGUCUCCUAUAUAGUCUUUUAGAAGAGUCGAGAUUAAAAUCUAAAAUAAAAAUUUAUCCAAACUAUCUAGUUUAAACCAAACAUGUGUUUUAUAUUAUACAUCACACAUUUCAAUUUAGUACCAUAACCCAAUAUCUACUAAUACUAAUAAAAGUAUAUGUGAUAAAUAAUCUUAUUAUCAUUUAUUUUCGUAUUACAAUGUCAAGAUAAAUUUGUUCGACAAAAAAACAAACAAUCCCUUGUGUGGUUAAAAAAGUUCUUCAUUUUACUUCAACUACUUAGCAGCAAAUACAAAGUGUUUCUUCUUUCAUAUCAUGAAUAAAUGGCGUGUUUAAUUAGGAUUGUUGAAACUCCCAAAACAAGUUAUGGAAUGAAGAUAAUGUCUUUUCAAGUAACAAUAAAAAAAUAGAUAUAUUUGUUUUUAUCUCUACUAUGGUCAAUACAAGAAAUCGAUUGAUUCAUGACAUUUCAACUUAACCAAAAGUAUUUUAUUUUACCUAGAAUAAGUUACUUUGAAACCAAAUUUCCCUCACAUUCACAGAAUAUUGUACUCUAGCAUAAUCAUUUUUGAACUUGACUUUAGACUAUAAAUUACUAUACUAUGUUUUCGUGAUGUCUAAGAAAUGAAUCUCCAACUUCAUAUUCCUAGUACUUUUUUUCCGCACCCCACUUAUCAGGAAGAUCAAUAAUGUUUUCACCUGUCCUUCCAGGUGACUCGAACCCUCAACCUAUCGAUUAAUGUUGAAGGAUCAAACACUAAAACAAGCCUGAGUAUAUAUGAUGUCACUCAUAAUAUAUGCUAAACUAAGCUCUACUUAAACUGAAUAGAAGAAUCAAAUAAUAAACUAGUAUUAGAAGAGACUAGGGUCCCAGUUAAUUAAGUACAUAAAAAGAUUACUGCUAUAAUUAAGGGUGUACUUACCUGUAAACGUUACUAAUUACUUACGCCAUAAACGUACAUGCUGAUUAAUCAUGAAUCGAAUAUAAAUAUUACAUUAGUACUAGACUCUCACAUAAUAUAUAUAUAUAUAAAUUGUUUUCUCCCUUGUCCUAUCUUACGUUAUCACGACUUUAGUAAUGACCAAAUGUGAAUAUAAUCGUUUGGUACGAGGGAUAAGAAUAAAUAGUCCUGGGAUAAAAAUUUGGUGUCUAGUUUGGUUGUCAAAGUGAUGGGAUAAGUUAUCUCAUAUACAUAGUGGGAUAAGUUAUCCCAAGAUAACUAUCCUGAAUAAUUAAUCCUUGGAUAACUUGUUCCCAACUAAACGAACUAACCCUCCCUAACGGGUAGAGACAUGAAUCAUGAUCAAUUUACUUAAAAUGUUUCAACUUUAAUAUAAAUAAAAGAAAAACAAUAGACGAGAAAAAUCCACUAUUCAUCAUCAAUAUAAAUAAAUCAUGGUCUUUACUACAAAAUUAUAUCGAGCUAGCUAGCCAUACAUAAAUAAAGGGAAAAAACUCGACAUAACGAAUAGAAAAUCCACCAUAGCAACAUGCAGCUAGCUCACAAUAUAUAUAUGAUUCGUUGUGACAUUGUUAUUGUUGUUCCUUUAUAAAACUAUAUAAUAUAAUAAUUAUCAAUAAUAUAUAGGGGUAGCUAGGCACGUACUAUAUACAGAAUAUUGGUGGAUGUAAUAAUAAUAAUAAUAAUAUUAAUUCUAGAAAGAGGUGAAACAAUCAUGAUCAGAAGAGUUAGAAUCAUCACAAGGAGAAUGGUUAUGUCUACCUUCAUACGUAGUUAUUACCAUACGACAAUCUUCUGAUAAUCUUUCAACUCUCUUCUUCACUCUACAAUUACUAUGCGUACAUCGAUAGUAACUCCUGCAAUAACAAUAAGAAAAUGAGAAUAUAAGUAAUUUUCUUAUUUAUUUUAGUAUAUUUGGGAAGUAUUUACGUAUAUUUAUAUUUAAUCUGACCACACACAAUACUAUAAGAAAAGUGCGAGGUGGAUGAAAAACACUAUCAGCUACUUAUGAAAUUUGUUUUCUGUAUUUGCACCACCAAUAACCAAUGAUUUAGAUUAUUUACUUCCUUCCAUUCUUAUCGAUCAUGCUUUAGUUUAUAUCCUCUGUUUCAUAUUAUUUGAACUUUGUAUUAAAAUUAAGAUUUUCAAUUUACUUACUUACCCUUGAGAAAUGUCAAAUGCAUGCUUGCACUCCACGUUAAUCUCCAGGGGUAUACAUAUGCAUUUUCAAUUCAAUUCAGUCGCAAUACUCUCUUUAUUUCAUUUGACAUUUAUAUUAAAACAUAAUACAUUUUUUACUUAUUCAUUUUAAUAAAUUAAGAGAGUUUUAUUAUUUUUUCGUACUAUUUUAAUAUUAAAUAACUAUAUAAAAUAGUAAUAGUAGUAGUCAAAUUUUGAGCUAAUUAGUUUCAUAGUACCAUUAAUAAAGUUAAUUUAAUAAAAUACACUUCCAAUAAAAGAUUUCGUAAGAGCUGUAUCAAGUUAAUAUAUAGGAGACAAAUAAAAUGAAACACUCGGAGUACUAUUUUCAUCCAUUAAUUAAUUAAAGUAUGUGACCAUUUCAUCUAAAAACUUAAGUUAUUUUAAAAAAAUAUUUUUAUUAUUUAAUUAUAUUCUCGACUUAAUCAAUUUCUUAUUGAACUACGCAAAUUAUGAUCGGCACAGGGACUUUACAGUAAAUUACACCCCUGAUAGUCUUUCAUACUCCAAUUAUGUGAUUCGUUCAGCUCAUAUUGACAAAUUUAAAAAAUACUUGUGCAAUUUCAAUUUAUCAUAAAUAUCUUAACUAAGAAGUGAGAUGCAAUAUAUUCUUGGAUAAAUUGAUGAUUUUUUUUCUAAUUUUUUUUUAAUUUCUAAAAUAUAAGCAAAAGGUUCAACCGUUCCAGGUUAUUUGGAUGGGAACAAGUUAUCUCGAGAUUAAUUAUUCUGGGAUUAAUUAUCCUGGAAUAAGUUAUUCCAUCAUAUAUAUGUGAUAACUUAUCUCAUUACUAAGGUAUAAAUGGUGAAAUAAAUAAUCUAAAAAUUACCUAAUACCUCCAAAACACAGAUUAAAAUAAUACUACAUUUUAUUAUAAAAUUAUUAUACCAACACCUCACACCAAACGACUCUUUCAACUUUCAGUCUAUUUGUUGUAGGAGCCAUUAGACAAUAUUCACGCAAAGAUUAGUGUAACAUACAUCUCUUGAAAACAACCAUAUUUAGAAUUACUAAAUACUCUCUCCGUUUCUAUUUAGUUAGCCUAUAUUAUAUAAAUAGAAAACGAUUGAAGAAUUAAUAAGGAUAUAUUAAUUAAAUUAUACUACUAAUUGAUUUUUUCUUAAAUAUUAUACAAAACUGUAUCCUGACAACUAAAUUAUACUACUAGUAAUGCACUUUAACGACUUAAGUUAUUUAUAAGAUGAUAAUGCACCUCAACAUGAUAUCGAUAAACAUAUGUCACUGUCAUCCAUUAUCAGUAUAUAUAGACGGUCCAUUACCAAAUCUAUUACUUAACAUUUCUCAGGCUAUACAAAUAUAUAGGAAAUAUUAUUUUGAAUUUAAGGUAAUUAUUAGAACUAGGAAAAUAAGAGAAAAUACUGGAAGCAAAUAAAGCCAAAGUAGAAAAAUACAAAGCAAAAGGGGAAUUGGAGCAGAAAAAAGAAAUAUUCAUCAAUGGUUUAGAGGAGAAUUGAAGAUAUAUUAGAUGGUCCACAGGCUACUGUCAACAGGGUCUCUAUCCCACUUCUAGAUAUGGAGUAGAAGUAAUAAUACCAAUUUAUACAAUUUCUUGUACUUCCCAAAACUAUUUGAAAGCACACCAUAUAUAUCACUUUCACCAUUUUUAAUUUUAAAUUGUAGGUCCAAUAUAAUGUCCCGUGAAUCGGAGUUAGAAUUUUAAUUUUUAGAUUAAUUUUAAAAUUAUGGGCUUAAAUCACCAAAAGAACAAGCAUGUGUGAUCUUCUAGGGAGGGUUUAAAAAAAUACAAAAAAAAACAAACCAACAUUUCAAGUAUUGCUCCUUUCAUCUCAAGUCAUUUGUCGCACCUUCGGAAAAUAGUUUUCUCAAAUAAUUUGUUAUUAUAGGAGUUCAAUGCAUAAUUAAUUAUAUUUUUGUCAUUUUGUUAUUAUAGUUAUUAUUUUUAAAGGCUAUAAACAACUCAAUUAUAUGAUGAUAUUAUGAUUUGAGGAGAAGAGACUAAUAUCAAGUUAGUUCUAAAUUUAAGUUAUCCCAUUUAAUUAAAUAUUAAUAUAAAUAUACUAUUUGAAGAAAAACUACCCUAAAUUUAAUUGAUCUGGACUUCUAUCACGUGAUCCCAAAUUUUGUGCAACACGAUUUGAGAGAAAUUGAUGUGUAAAACGAUAUUUUCACAAAUAAUUAUUAAGUGGAUAGAAGGAAUUAAAGACAUAAUUCUCUUACUUAAUAGAUCCUCUCAUUUUGAUUUAAUUAGUUUAAUUCAUUUUUAAAAUGAGUUAAUAUGCCGUUUAGAUUGAUUUAUGAGAAAUUUUAUUUAAAUAUUUUUUUUAUUUAAUAUAUUUUUUAUAGUCAUAACAUUAGGAGAAAAGCUUAUUAGAUACUCAAUAACAAAUUAUAACAAAACUACUUUGAAUUUAAAAUUUAGUAAAAUCAAAGGGAUUAAAUUAUGACUCGACUUUUAAAUUAUUUCAUCCAAAUAAUAUCAAAUGGGUCAAUAACUUACCCAUUUAUUAAUUAAAUCAAUUUAGAAGAUGAAUUAGUACUCCUAAAGUUGUUUCGGAUAAAUGUACUUACAUAGUUACAUUCAACAAUCACAUAUAUUGCUAACAGUAACACACUCUUUUUUUUUUUCUUUUGUAAUGAGGCAUAUUAAGUAUUUAUAUUAUUUCUUUUUAUAACUAAAACAACAUUUAUACUCCUUCCGUCUCAAUUUAUAUGAUAGUUCAAAUUUUAAUAUUUUUGAAAAAUCAUUUACAUAUUUAGUAACUAUAUAAGAAAUACUAUAUAUCGCGGUUGCCAAAAUUAAGUUUUAAAAAAGAAGAAUGAAUCACAGUAAAAACAAAUAAAAUCCUUUACUCUCGAAAUUAUAACUAUAUCAUAUAAAGAUAUAAGGAGUACUUUGUAAGAUAAAUUUAAUCAACUCCUAUAAGGAAAAACAUGAGAAACUAGUAGUAAUUGAUUAUUAUUACUAUUAGGUACCUGGGAUGAAGGCUAUUCUUGACAACUUUCUGACCAUAUUUUCUCCAUUUAUAUCCAUCAUCAAGAACAUCAAUGUCACUCCUUGUUUGGAAACAAAAUCUUGGUUCUCUUAGCUUUCUUCUUAUCUUCACUUUUCCUUUGUCUGAAGAUGAACUCUUCCACCUACAUAUUUUGGAAAUGAAAUAAUGUAAUUGCUUGCUAGUAAAAUAAUAACUUGAUGAGCUCAUGACAACAAUAUAAAUUUAUAUAUACUUGUGCUAGCAAAUAAAUUAAACAAGUCUUAUCAUAUGUGAGUUGAAUUUUAUCAUGAUGUGGGUACAAAUAUAUUUAUAGUUGAGCAUUAUAAUAUGUAUAGUGGAUCUAUCUAGCACUUGUCCUUCUCAAAAUGCACAACACCACAUAUUAUUUAGUACAAACCAUAGUAUUUAUAUACACACUUUGAAAUAGUGUCAUUAUUAAAGAGCAAGAGAAACAUUUCAAGAAAACAUGAUAGCAAAUAUCUAUCUGCAUGAAUGCCUUGCUAGAUCUCUUUUCAGGUUUUAAUGUAAAUCAUGAAGAAGCUUCUAGAGAGGUAGUACUAAUAAAUAGUGGAGUUGAAAAUAAAGUAAAGACUUUUUUUUCCUUCCAAGUCUUUGUCUGAAACUCCUUAGUCUGAUUAAUUUUGGUACGCGUGGUGAAAAGUUCAUAGUCUGACCAACUCCAAUUCACCUUGUUUAAUUAAAUCGCACUAUAAAAGUGCUCUAUAUUAGGAAGAGCAAUUCAUUCCCAAGACUCUGCACUCUAAUUAAGAGUGAGAAAAUCUUUGUCUCCGAUCUAAUUUCUCAGAUUUUGAUAGAAUGAAUUAAGCAUAAAAUAGUGAGGUUAAUUACCCUUUUCUUAAAUUUAAAAAAAAAAAAAGAAUUGAAGAAGAAGAAGUAUGCAUGAAUAGUUGUGAGAAGAGUGAAUAGAUCACGAUCUCCAUCCCUCCUUUCUUUAGUUUCCCCUUUUGUUGAAACCAAAAUAAAUCAAAUGUUAGAUGAAAUUAAGAUAUCUCACUUCUAUAUUAUAUUAUAUAAAAUAAAAUAAAAUAACAAGCCGCAAUUCAUAGCGCGAGAAUCGAUUUAACAUUUUGAAAAUAAAUUAGUAGGAGUAAAUGUUAUAGAGAAAUAAUACCAUGAAUUGUUACCCUCACUGGCAUUACCGCUGCAAUUUUCGUCAUUUAUACCCUUGGGAUCUAGUGUUUCCACCUAUAUGUAAAAUUAAACAAAAAGAAAGAAAUUAUUACAAAGAAUAAUUUGAGAAACCCUAAAAGAGAUCCCAAUAUAUUUUUUGUGAUGGUUGUUAUCUUUCACCAGCACAAAUCUACGAUAAAGUUGUAAAUCAUCCGAAUUUACCUGUUCGUUGUUGUUCCAAGAAGGUCUAUUGACAAGUAAUUCAUUGUGGCUAAACCCUAAACCACCACCACCACCACCAACGUUAUUGGAAGCGCCAGCCGCAGCAGCGUUUGUAUUGAUGGCGGCGGAUGGCGUAACACUUACGCUGGCGGCGGCGGCGGCGGCGGCGGCAGCAGCUUGAAGAGACUGAGAAGAUUGUGAUGAAGGAGCUAAGAAGCUCAAGUUUUGAUCUGCAAAGUGUAUAAAUCCCAAUUCAUGAUGAACAUGAUUUGGUGCUGCUGCUGAGGAUGAUGAUGAAAAAGAUACUUGUAAAUUGUAAUUGUUUAACUGAUUUCUUUCUUCACUACCCCUUUCCAUUAAUUCCUCUCACUUUUUUUUUUCUAAUAAUAUUCCAAAGUACUUUUGUUGUUGAUGCUUCUUUUCAACAAUUUCUUCCUUUGCUAGUUCUUCUUCUUCUUCUUGUUGAUGAUGUUGUGAUGGUGAAUUAAUUAUUGAGGGAUGUAUUUUGUGAAUUGCAUGUAUUCGUACUCCGUGUGGGGUUUCAUUUUCAAGUAGAAUGAUGUGUUUUCUUUCACCAACAUAUAUAUUGGGAAUAUAUAUAUCUGGUCAACUGGUAAACGCUACUCCCUCCGUCCCAUUUUAUAUGUCAUUCCUUUCAAUAAAUAAUUGGUCCAUAAUACUUGUCAUUUCAUAAAAUCAAUGCAUAAAUUACCAUAUUCUUCCUUGUUUAUCCUUGUGAGUUAUUAGCCUUGAAAAUAUACAUUUGACCAACUUAGAAAAGCAAAGUAAAUGAUUCAUGUUCAUUGGUUAAAUUAAUUAAUCAAAAUAAAUUAAUUCAUAUUCAUUAAUUGAAAACUUAAGUUCCAAAAAAUUUAAAUAAGGGUACAAGGGUAAAGUUACAUCAUUUUUUAAUGCAAAUGCAAAUUAAAAAGGUGACAUAUAAAAUGAGAAAGAGGAAGUAUAAGGAAUGUAGAUCAAAUAUUAAAUUAAUAUAUAUUGUAAUAUUCUUUUAUUAAUUUGACACAGAGUUUUAAGAAAAAGAAUUUCUGAAAUUUAUGGUUUAAAACAAGCCAGAAAUAAUUGUGUGUCAGUGUAAUGUGUUUGGUAUGAAGGAACAAUUUUACAUGAAAAAUGUUUUCUUAAAAAACAAGUUGGUUUAGUGUUUUGUAAGUAAAAAAAUAUUAUCCCAAGAACAUUUAUAUGUAAUCUAGUAAAAUACUAUAGAGGGAAAAGUGGGUAGGGAGUGGGGCCUCAGGGAUGAAGGGGGUGGAAUGGUCAAGGGGUAGGGAGUUGGGAGCAUGGGUGGAUGGGGAGCAUAUAACAAACAUAGAAUAUCAUUUAUACAACUUGUUUUUUUUUUUUGAUGAACUAUAAAACAACUUGUUUUUCAUACUUCCAUUAAGAAAGUCAUUUUCAUGAUUUUUAAGGAAUUUAAUUUUCUAAAGAAAAGAUUUUUCAAAAAAUUUGUCCAACCAGACAUAUAAAAAUAAGAAAAUAGUUUGUAAAAAAUGUUUUCUUACAUACCAAACAGACAUUAAAUUAUCUCAUUAGGUUAAAAUGAACAUUUAAGUUAAAUUAUUACUAAGUAUAAAAAUAUAUAUUAUCUUUUGAGACCAACUAAAAAAGAAAGUACAUGAGGUAAAUUAAGACAAAGAAAAUAGUAAUACAAUAAUUGAGUUCACAAAUUAAAUUUCUAUAUAUGUUUAAUUAAUGAAUUGUUUUAAUACGUAUCUUGUUUGUGUUAUAUAUGUAUACUCCAAUAUCCAAUUCUGGGCAUGCCUCUUAAUGAGUAAAAAUACUCAUGUUCAAUUUUUAAUAUCAAGACAAUAGAUGUAUAAUAUUUGCCAAUAUUUAUGUCUCACUUAAUCAUCAUUGAGGAAUAUAUAUUCACAGUUUUUCUAAAUUACUUAGUCAUGAUAAAUUAAUAUGAUUUGAUAUAAAUAUCAAAUGCAGAAUAAUAUAUAUAAUUAAAAUUUAUUUGCAGAAAAUCAUACUGCAAAAAACAAAACGACUAAUCAUAUUAUUCUACAAUAAUUAAAUGAUAAUUGUCGUAAGAAUAUAUAUUAAUUAAAUAAUUUACAUGGUAGGGUCCGUGUCGAAACCCCGCCACCCAAAACUCAUUUAAUAUAAAAGAAAAUUGCUAUGUUUAAACAUACACUAUAUCAUCUAUUUAUUGGAUUGCUUUACCACAAGACGUAUAUAAAAAUGCGAUCUUGAAAUUAAAUUAAAAACUCUAAACUUUCAUACGAGUCAAUUUGUUUUAAGGAAGUAAAAUUAUCUCAAAUACAAUUUGAAUUUGACUGAUCCUAUAUUUUAUAGAAAUAUUAGUAUUUAGAGCCAUGUGUAAUCAUAAAUGAUAAAGAAAAUUGAUAAGUUGAACCAUAUUGUUUGGCUCUCGGUGGAGUUUGAUAACAACAAUUACUUUAAGACUAAGUAUAUUUUAAAAUAAUCAUUGUUAUUGACUUAUUAUCCACUAAACGGUUUGUUAAGCAAAAUAAAAUCUGGAGUUUAAGUUAUAAGAAACUUUAUAACCACGAAUUGUUUCAGUACAUCUUUGACAAUUGCAACAAAAAUAUUUAUUGGCCCAAUUUCAAGUUGUGACAAAAAAAAAUUCUCAUUUUGGUGUUACGGCGAAACAUUAUCAUAUUUAUCUUAUUUCAUAUUUAUCUUAUUUGUUUUCUUGUCUUCGAUACAUAAGUAGAAAAUAUCAUUUUGAAAAUGAUUAUAUGUAAUUUAGUCAAACACAAUGAAGGUGGGGGGAUAACGUGUGGGAGUGAUGGAGAUGAGACUACAUAUGGCGGUGCAUGGAGUCGGGGUAGGAUGUGUUCGAGAGGAUAGAUAAGAUAUAAUUAGUAUAGAAUGUCACUUAUGCAAUAACCUGUGAUCUCUAAUUUCUCUAAAGAAGAUAGAUAUGCUGAAACGGGUGCUAGCUUGAAAAUCGUCGCAGAAUGAAGUAAGCCUUUAAAAUAAGAAUAUAUAUAUAUAUAAAAAAUACCAUUCACUGUAUUGUUUAACGACAAGCUCAGCUGGACCACUAUGGUUAUUAGAAAUGGAUAUAAAUUCCCUAAUCAUUUUCUUAAAGAGGAAAAAACAAGAUGCACGGUAGCUACAUAUAUUCAAAACUUCACUGUAAUAGUGUGCAUCAAUAUUAUGAGUUGAUAAAAAUAAUAAAAUAUGAUUUAGCUAGCUAGGAUUGAAUUAUGAUCGCAUGGGUGGUUGCACUUGCUUGUACUAGCAGUACCACCGCCCUUUGAUGCUUUUCAUGGGGCACUAAUAUUUUUUUAAUUUUUUCCAAUUUUUCAAGAUAAAUAUACAUAUAUAUACAUGAUUUUUUCUGAAGUUAAUAGGUGCACGUACACCUCACAUAUACAUGUAGGUCUGCAUCUGGUUAUAAAGAGAUAUUAUUAUACUAACAUAAUAUGAAAAUUAGUUCAAUAGAAAAAUUGAUUGUUGUUAUAAAGAACGGUUGUUAUAGAGGAUGUGACUGUAUCAAUACUCAAAAGUAUAAAUACAUAUAUAGUAUUUUCAUUAUUUUAAAUUGACUAUUUUUUUAACAAGUUCAAUAUUGCCCCCGAAUUUUUUUUCGUAUAUUUGAAGCAAAUAAUGUUUUUAUUUUGACCUAAUUAUAUUGAAAGUUAGAAAUUGAAAACUUAUGUUUAACUAUAUAAAUCAUAUACCUAAUUAAGUCACAACUCCUAUUAGGGUGUUUGGCUUAAUCAGACAUUUGUCUCUAUACUACACAACUUUUGUAUAACAAUUAUAACAUCGAUGACUAAUAGACUCUUCUUUUAAUUUGCUCUUUCUUUAUUGACUUUUGAUUAGGAUAGGUCCAUAAGGAAUAUUGUACAAAAUGAAAAAAGGUAAGGUUGCAAUCUUAAGAUAACCUCGUCUAUAAGAUUUCAAAACAAAAAGUAAGAGAAAAAUAAACUUUCCUUUGAAAAAAUAAUGGACAAGGGUUUGAAAAAUAUCCCAACUUUGGUUUGUUGCGAUACUAAACUUUCAUAAGGACCUAUUACCUCCCUAGACUAUUUAAUACCGUAUUUUUUACCCCCUGAACUAUUUAAUAGUGUAUUUUAAAGGUAUAUAUAUGUCCACGUGGACACAUUAUUAUUUAUAAUUUUGCAUUAUUUUUUAUGUCCACGUGGGCAAAUAUAUAUGUUUAAGAUACGGUAUUAAAUAGUCUAGGGAGGUAAUAGGUCCUCAUGAAAGUUUAGUAUCGCAACAGCAAAUCCGACCAAAGUUGGGAUAUGUUUCAGACACUUAGUCCAAAAAAUAACAAGGAAAAUGAAGUAAGAGAAAAAAAUAAACUUUCCUUUGAAAAGAAUAGCAAUUAACAAGAAAACAAUAGCAUCUAGUCGAAGGUAGGUCAAUUGAUUUUAUAACCCAAGAAAAUGGUCAAAUGUCCCCCUCAACGUAUAUUCGGAUCGGAUUUUCAACUACACACUUAAACUUUACGGGAGUCCUAUCACCCCCUGUACUAUUUAAAACUGAAAUAAUUACCUCCCUGAAUGUUUAGCUGGCAUAGUGAGUGUAUUUCACUCUGUUUGGGUGAGUGAGUAUCAAAAUCUAUUAUUAAAGCUUUAUUUUUAAUAUCUCUUUCAAUAAAUAUAUGCAUUUUUAAUUAUUUAUUUUUCUUAUUUGUUUUCUUUCUUCUCCAUCAAUAUAAACAAAUCUCUCAAUCUUUCACCACCUCUAAGUCUUGCUGCCACCACCAUCUUCACCGGAUUCACUAUUGUUGAUUCCAAACAAAUUUUCAAACUCAUAUAAAACUCUUGCAAAACCAAUCAACCUAAAUCAAUUGAGAUAAAUUUACAUAUAUUUAUAUCACCCCAAGAUACUUUGGAUCUGAUUUGAGAAAAAUCAAUAUGGGUUUACUUUAAAUCCGAUUGGACCAACCGAAAAAAUAUUUUUUUUUACUAAUAGAUCCUUUAAUUAUCUAUAUCAAAUCUCAAUCAAUCAACUAUAUCUCAAAAAUUGUCGCUAUUAAUCUUGUUAAUCCAUCAACUGUCGUAGAAUCUGUCUCUUCCUCUUUGAAAUUAUCGUCGCUAUAGAUGAUGAUGUGGAAGACAUCGUAGGAUCCUCCUCCUCAUCUUCCUUGAGAGGAUUGCUUAUCUUCGGUGACCACCAUUAAUGACAAUAUUCCGUCAUAUUCAUCUUCUCUUCCCCCCUUCACUUUUUUUUAAUUUGAUUUUUAGGUUUCAAAUGAGCAAAACCUGAAUAUCUCACCUUUCUUCCUUAAAGACCCAAUUUCAUGGACUUAUGGUGUUCUAGUGAUGGUGAAAAUAUUUUGGGUGUUUGAAGGGAUGGGUAAGAAUAUAGAAGAAAAGGGUAAACAAAUAUAAAAAUUGAAAAAAUAAUAAUUUGAUGAUGUGUCAAACGCGUGAAACUCACAUGCCACCAUAGAUCUAAAAAAUAUAAUUUGAUGAUGUGUCAAACGCGUGGAAACUCACAUGCCACCAUAGAUCUAAAAAAUAUAAUUUGAUGAUGUGUCAAACGCGUGAAACUCACAUGCCACCAUAGAUCUAAAAAAUAAUAAUUUGAUGAUGUGUCAAACGCGUGAAACUCACAUGCCACCAUAGAUCUAAAAAAUAUAAUUUGAUGAUGUGUCAAACGCGUGGAAACUCACAUGCCACCAUAGAUCUAAAAAAUAAUAAUUUGAUGAAUGUGUCAAACGACGUGAAACUCACAUGCCACCAUAGAUCUAAAAAAUAAUAAUUUGAUGAUGUGUCAAACGCGUGAAACUCACAUGCCACCAUAGAUCUAAAAAAUAAUAAUUUGAUGAUGUGUCAAACGCGUGGAAACUCACAUGCCACCAUAGAUCUAAAAAAUAUAAUUUGAUGAUGUGUCAAACGCGUGAAACUCACAUGCCACCAUAGAUCUAAAAAAUAAUAAUUUGAUGAAUGUGUCAAACGACGUGAAACUCACAUGCCACCAUAGAUCUAAAAAAUAUAAUUUGAUGAUGUGUCAAACGCGUGGAAACUCACAUGCCACCUUAGAUCUAGUUAUGGCUUUUUAAGGGUAUAAUUAUUUUAUUUUUAAAUAGUUCGGGGGGAGGGGGGGAGGGGGGGUGAUAGAACUCCCGUAAAGUUUAAUUAUGUAGUUGGAAAUCCGAUUAUACAUGAGGAGGCAUUUGACCAUUUUUUCUUUAUAACCCUUUAUAAAUUUAUCUUUAAUUUUAUAUUUGUUUUUAAUUCAAAAUUUUUAUUUUUCUUCAUAAGGAAUCGAAAAAUAACAGUACUAAAUAGAUAUUUGUUAAGUCAUUUUCUUCUCUUUAAAAUUGUAAAAAAUAAAAAUAAAAACAAAAACAUAAAAAUAUGUGAUUCUCUCAAAUAAAUUUUUGAGCAGAGACAAUAAAACACAAAGUGAUUCUUUCUAUUUGUUCUAAUUUUGAUAGACAGAGUGACCUAGUAUCCGUUGGUAGUGGCAGGUAGCAAGUGGCAAGUAUCCCAUAAAAUUAUUUGAGGUGCGCUAAAGCUUAAUCCAUACAUCACGAUCACAUAAAAAAAUAAAAAAUUUAUAACCUGUCCCUUUUUCUCUUGCUCAUUUUAGAAAUAUCACUUCUCUUGAAAGUUUUUCUUUUAUAUUUAAUUUCUUAAUCUUGUUUAAAUCAAUAUACCAAUAGAGCACCGUCACAACUACUCAUGUUGAUUUCUAUAGAGUAUCGACAGGUUGAUCAAUUUUAUCAAUACAUCUACAUCUACACCUACACCUAUAUCUACAAUAAUGUAAUAUCUAAUGAUUGAUAAUAUUUGAGAUCAUAUAUUUUCUUAAAAGAAAUUAUUACGUUGGGGGAUGGGGGAGGUACUCCGACUCAAAAUACUAGUCGGAUUUUUUUAUUUACAAGCCCCUUAAAAAUAUUAAUUUGAAGGGAUGUUUUAUUAAUUAUUUUAUCCUUAUUUAUGUUUUAAUAUAUAAUUUCUCUUCGUUAAAUAUUAUUCAAUUUAUAUGUUAUAAUUGAGAUGUUUAAUUAUAGUCUUCACGAACAAUUACUACAGAGGAUAAAACGAAAAAAAUAUAGUUAAUUUUUCUGAAACUUCUAAAAUAACAAGUAUUUUGAGACAUGUGUUUUUAAUUAGUAAGGUUGACAAGUACAUGGAGUAUAAGUUUUACUUUGGGGGAGUGGGGGGGUUGGUGUCGGUAUGAACAAAAAUGUUUUCCACUGAAAAAAAAUUCUUGAAAAAUUAUUUCCAGGAAAAUAAGUGGUUUUAUACUAUUUCCUUAUGUUCGGUAUGUAAAUAGAAAAAGUACUAUUCUUAUAGUAUUUAUAUAUAUAAUCUAGACAAAUAGUAUAGACGUAGUGGUGAAGAUGAGGUAUACUGAUGGAGGGUGGGAGGACAAUCAACGCGGAAUGUUAUUUCUCCAACUUAUUUUCUCUAUUCUUACUAGGGAGGUCAUUUUCCUCAAUGUUAAGAAACUUGUUUUUCUAAAGAAAAUAUUUUAAUUUUUUUUUACCAACUGAACAUAAAAAGAUGGAUAAAUAUAUUUAGAUUCUCCUUCUAUCGCAAAUUGAAACAAAGGUAUAAAUUGAUUUAACAUCUAGUAGAAUUUGGAACAUGUUGUAUUAUGAGAGUAAUGAUUACUAAUGAUUUAAUUAGUCACAAUUUUCUUCUUUGAAGAAUUAAUCUAUCUUCUGAUCAUAUUGAACAUCUGGAUUUUUGCUUUGUUUAUUUGUGAAAAUUAUCAAAUAAUCGAAGAUGAAAAGGAAGACUUGAGUCGUGAAGGGAUAAAGCAAAAAUGAAUAUUUAACAAAGUAGUGAAAAUCUAUAAACUAUAGGCAGUAAAUUUCAUCAAUUAAAGAAGCAAAUCAAACAAAAUUUUACCACAACUAAUAAUUUGAGAUAGAAGGAGAAUUAAUUCGUUUUAUUUAUACAUAUUCAGUUGAUUUCUUAACACAAAAUAUAAAUACAUGAUUUCGAUCAAAACUCUUAGACUAUAUCGAACUUACCUAUUUUAACCCCUCCACACCCCACACCCCAUAAACCCCCACCCAAAUUGUGACAUGACCCUAAACUUUAUUUUGGUGCCUUGUGCCUCCAGGUGCAAAUGGUUUUAGGCGUGAAAUUUAAUAUGAUAUAUUCCAUCUCCAUGAUUGGAUAUUGUUGUCUCCUUUCUAACAAAUACCCUGCCUAUCUGGUUGGUUCAUAUGUAAAGUUUGUUACAUAAUUUAUAUCUUAAUAUCAAACAUCAUUACACAAAUCAAAUAUACCAAAUAAAAUUUACUUGUGUUGCUUAAUUUUAUCAAUGGUCGGUAAUUCAAAGUUAAAAAUUCGUUGUGGAUCAGUUUUCUUCAAUUACUUCUUAUUCUUAUAAUGCGAAAAAUAAAAGUUCAUCACUAGUUAGGAAGAAUAUUUUUGAAUUGUUCUUUAUUUGACUUAUAACGAGCUAAUAAAAGAGAAUAAUUCCGCGCACAUAAAACUGGCUGAUUUGCAUAACUGCGAUAGGUGUAGAUUUAAAUUGAGUAAAUUUUAGGUUUAGCAAACAUAAAAAUUAUAUUUGUGUGUUAUAACUAUAGUUUGUAUAAUUGCGCUCCAUAUCAAACUUUAUGUUUGCUAUGGAGCAUCAGAUUUGUAUAAAUCCCUGCUAGUCUCUUGAUUCAAUUGUAUAUAUGUAACUACUGUGUAUAUGUAUCAAUGAUUGUGUUUGUAUAUCUACAUAAAAUUUGAAUUUGUAUACAAUUGAAUCGAAAUAAAAUAUUUAUAUAUCAAAUCUUUCUCUCUCUCGCUUUAUACAACACAAAUUAUACAUUGUAAUUUGUAUAAUUUGUUUUUGUAUAAAGCGACAAAUAGAGAAAGGCAAAAGAGAACUAGUAGGGGAAGAUCUGUAUUUGUAUAAUUAUAAGUGUGUAGGACGAAAAUAUAUGUAUUUGCAUUUGUAUAUACAGUUUUCUCUCGCUUUAUACAAACACAAACACAAUUUAUACAUUUGUGUUUGUAUAAAGUGAGAGAGGCGAGGGAGUGUGACGAGCGAGAUCUGGGAGAGUGGCGAGCGAGAUUCGCUGGGAGAGAGGCAAAUGACAAUUGUUUGCUACGAAUUACAAUUAAAUGAAACUGUGGUUAUAUCAUUUAAUUUGAAUUAAUAAUUUGUUAUUUUAUACAAUUUUCUCAUUUAAAUUUCAUCAUGACCUAAUUGUCUUUCCAUCACAAAUUCAUUACAAGUAAUCCAGUUUUGACACAAAUCAAAUAAUUUAGAGGUUAAGUUAAAUCCACUAUAACUAUAUUCUUUCAAAUCUUUUUUUAUAAUCAAAUAAUUAAGCUAAUAAUGUAAAAUAUCUUGAUGUUACUAAUUAGUUGUAUGUGAAUGGGGUGUGGCUGAAUCAAAGGAAAAAAUUAAUUUCUUGAAAGCAAUGAGUAGUAGGUAGGGUCCAUCAGAAUUUUCUUACAUGUCAAAAGAUUGUAAUGAGUAUUAGACAGUGGAAAAGGAAUGAACGAACACGAUAACCCUUCCUAUCUAAUCCUGCCAAAUUUGAUUCCAUUAAAAUCUAUACCAAUUUUCUAUCGAUUUCAAAUUUUAUACCUCGUCAGUAUAGAUAAUUUCUUAUAAAAAAAGAUAGUAUCCAUAUGACCACAGUAGGUCUCUUUUUUAAUGGGGGAUUCGAAAUAUAUAUAUAUAUAUGGAAAAUGUAUAAGUACCCUCCAAUCUAUGCCCGAAAUCUCAGAGACACACUUAUAUUAUACUAAGGUCCUAUUACCCUCCGAACUUAUUUUAUAAAUAAUUUUCUAUCCCUUUUCGGCCUACGUAGCACUAUCUUCUGAGUCCAGCGCGUGUUGACAAUUUUUUCAUUGAUAGUGUCACGUAGUACGAAAAGGGGUAAAAAAUUAUUUAUAAAAUAAGUUCGAAGGUAAUAGGACUUUAGUAUAAUAUAAGUGUGUCUCUGAAAUUUCGGACAUAGGUUGGAGGUACUUAUGCAUUUUUCAUUAUAUAUAUAUAUUUAUUACAUUUAUACUAUAUAAUAAGUAACAGAGAUUUGCCACCAAUUCAAUCGUCGUAUAUGUUCCAUGACAGAAGAUUAAAAUCAUCAAGAAAUCCGUUACUUAUAAAUAUUUAUUCACAAACCAUUUUUUAUUCCUUGUUAAGUGGAUAAAUAUAAGAUUACACCGCACAGUAAUUUACUAAUCCCUGUAUUUCAACUUUUUGUCUUAUUUUUCAUUUAAAUUAGUUUUAAAAAAUGUCAUUUUCCUUGCAAUUCUUUAUUUCAAAUUCUCCACGUGACAUAUUUCAUAUCAUAAAAUUAAAGAAUAUUUUGGUACAUUUUACAUAUUUUUUGUUUCAAAUCACAAGACUCAAAAAAAAAUAUUUUUUACCUUGAUUUUCUUAAAUUUCGUGUCAAAUCAAAAUAGGACAAACAAAUUAGAAAUGAAAAGGAAUAUAAAUAUGAGAAUGUAAAGAUUAAUUAUGUCCUAAAUUUUACUGCGUCGGUGUAUACUCUGGGUGCAAAUGUCUCCCUAGUGUGCUUUAUGUUGGAUAAAAGUAAAAUUACGGUACCGAUAAAGAUUGUAAUGAAGUGGUUCGUAUUCAUUUAUUUUUAACUAAAUUUUUUGAGUUCAAGUCCUUCCUAGAUAUAAAAUUGUCUUUAUUAAAGAGCUUUUUACUUCCUCCCCAACUAAUAUUGAACUUUUCAGUAUAAACUUAAAUUUAUUCGAACUUUAAUACAAAUAACAGAACACCGACGAAGGAAAAAAAGUGAAGCUAGGGAUAGCUAGAAAGGUAGCUAAUAAGUAAUACUACAAAUGUAGAGUGACGUAAAUAGGGCACUUUUUCCUUUAGUUUUGCCUUCUCUCUUGGCCUUCCACUCAACACUCGAUCACCUUAGUUUCUUCUUUAAUUUCAUAUUUAUCGAUACAUGUCCCUCUAUUUGACUCUCCACACGAUCUUUCGUCACCACAUAUGAUCAUCUUAUGUUCCCUUUUCACCUUGCAAAGAUAGGAAGAUAGAGGGUCGGGUAAGGGUGAACAAAAUCGAAUUGAAAAUUGAAUCAAAUCAUGAAUUGAGUUAAAUCAGAAACUAAAAAUUACUAGUGUUUGGGUUGACUUAGUUAGAUAUUGAAAAAAAAUCUGAUUAUACUUGGAUUGGUCUGGUUUUAACUAAAAAAAGUCAAUUCGAGAUCGAACUAACUUGAUAUUAUAUAUAUUUUUUAAGAAAAUUAUUUUAUAGAUAAAAGUAUUUAUUUUGAUAUAAUUUCUAAAUAUUUCUUAUAUUUUUUUAUAGUUUUUAUCGUUUAACAUAUUAUUUCAUGUUUGAGAUUUAAAAUUUUGAAUGGUCCAAUAAAGAUUAUAAUCUAUAGAUAUUAGUAACCCUACUAAAGCUCAAAUCAAUACUAAUACUAACAACAACAAAAAAUCAGUUUACUACUAAGAAUGACAAUAAUAAUAUUGAAUAUUUGUUCUUUAACUUUACAUUGAUUUAGAAAAUUAAAAUAUACAACCUAAUUUUAGUUUUUCUUCAAUGUUUAGUCAUGUAAUUACUACUUAUUAGACUUUAUUUUUGCAUGAUUUAGUACUUUUAAUUAUGAUCAUUUCUUACAACCUAUUAUUUUGCGAUAUUUGUUUUAUGUGAUUUUAUUAUUAUUUUUUAUAAAUUUUUUUGUGUCAUCACUCAUCUCAUAUUUUGUGUUAGUUUCUUUAAAAAAAAUACAUUAGAUGAUUGUAUUUUGAUAGGACUAAAAAUAUUUCUAAAGUACAAGUUAAUUAUAUGUUUGUAUGAAUACUUUAUCGAAAAAAUUCGAGGUUGAAAAAUUUGAGUUUUAUUAAUUUGAUUUGAUUUAAAGAUUUAAAAAUUCAACAAUAAUGAUUUGGUUUGAUAUUUGAAAAACUUUAUUCAACCCUAUCAUAUAUACCCCCAAUUGGUACGAAAAAAUAUGAUUCGUUCAAUCCGUUUAGAUCAGAGAAAUAAUUAAUUUUGUAAAACAAAAUAGAAAAAAUGGUGUUGGAUUUUAUAAGACUCUUUCUUUAAAGCUAACAAGAAGUUAAAAUAAAAAUAUUUUUUAUUAUAUAUUAAAAACCAUUUUAAUGAAAGUGAAAUAUAUUAAGAAUUAAAAUAAAGUACUAAUAUUUAUGCAUAAAGGACCAUUUUGAUACGGAGGGACACAGAAUCUUAUCCCCUCAAAAAAUUGAUCAAUAAUCAACAUGCCCAACCCUUCACGUUUUUGUCGCUUAAUACCAACAAUUGCUCGAAAAUGUGUAGAUCAUGCUAUUGGUGGCGGACCUAAAAUAAAAUUUAGUCGAAUUUGAUUUGAUUUAAAUAUUUUAUUCGUCUAAAAAAUUAUUAUUAUUAUAUANNNNNNNNNNNNNNNNNNNNNNNNNNNNNNNNNNNNNNNNNNNNNNNNNNNNNNNNNNNNNNNNNNNNNNNNNNNNNNNNNNNNNNNNNNNNNNNNNNNNNNNNNNNNNNNNNNNNNNNNNNNNNNNNNNNNNNNNNNNNNNNNNNNNNNNNNNNNNNNNNNNNNNNNNNNNNNNNNNNNNNNNNNNNNNNNNNNNNNNNNNNNNNNNNNNNNNNNNNNNNNNNNNNNNNNNNNNNNNNNNNNNNNNNNNNNNNNNNNNNNNNNNNNNNNNNNNNNNNNNNNNNNNNNNNNNNNNNNNNNNNNNNNNNNNNNNNNNNNNNNNNNNNNNNNNNNNNNNNNNNNNNNNNNNNNNNNNNNNNNNNNNNNNNNNNNNNNNNNNNNNNNNNNNNNNNNNNNNNNNNNNNNNNNNNNNNNNNNNNNNNNNNNNNNNNNNNNNNNNNNNNNNNNNNNNNNNNNNNNNNNNNNNNNNNNNNNNNNNNNNNNNNNNNNNNNNNNNNNNNNNNNNNNNNNNNNNNNNNNNNNNNNNNNNNNNNNNNNNNNNNNNNNNNNNNNNNNNNNNNNNNNNNNNNNNNNNNNNNNNNNNNNNNNNNNNNNNNNNNNNNNNNNNNNNNNNNNNNNNNNNNNNNNNNNNNNNNNNNNNNNNNNNNNNNNNNNNNNNNNNNNNNNNNNNNNNNNNNNNNNNNNNNNNNNNNNNNNNNNNNNNNNNNNNNNNNNNNNNNNNNNNNNNNNNNNNNNNNNNNNNNNNNNNNNNNNNNNNNNNNNNNNNNNNNNNNNNNNNNNNNNNNNNNNNNNNNNNNNNNNNNNNNNNNNNNNNNNNNNNNNNNNNNNNNNNNNNNNNNNNNNNNNNNNNNNNNNNNNNNNNNNNNNNNNNNNNNNNNNNNNNNNNNNNNNNNNNNNNNNNNNNNNNNNNNNNNNNNNNNNNNNNNNNNNNNNNNNNNNNNNNNNNNNNNNNNNNNNNNNNNNNNNNNNNNNNNNNNNNNNNNNNNNNNNNNNNNNNNNNNNNNNNNNNNNNNNNNNNNNNNNNNNNNNNNNNNNNNNNNNNNNNNNNNNNNNNNNNNNNNNNNNNNNNNNNNNNNNNNNNNNNNNNNNNNNNNNNNNNNNNNNNNNNNNNNNNNNNNNNNNNNNNNNNNNAUAUAUAUAUAUAUAUAUAUUAUAUAUAUAUAUAUAUAUAUAUAAUUUAAAACGUAAUAACCUAAAAGAAGUAGAAUUCGAAUUUAUAAGAUUCAAAUGUUGAAUCAAUUAAGUUUUAAAUAAAGAAAAAAGACAAGUAACCUGACAUCCAUGGCCACAUUUGACUCAUGGAGCAUAUUAUAGUUUGACUAUUAGGACUUCUCCUUCAACAACAUCUUAAAAAAAAUUCUUUAGGAUAAAAAUAUAUAUCAUAUUUUUCAGUAAAAUAAAAACGUCCAUGUGAUAAAAUUAAAAUUCAAAGUUUAUUAGACAAAUAUUUAUUGUUGUAAAACAGAAAAGUGACUGUAAUUAAAAGGAUAGACCUUUAAAAGGUUUUUUCGUGCAAAGCUAACUGUAUUUUUAAAAAUAAAAAAUAAAAAGGAGAGAAAAAUAAACAAUAAGCCUAAUUUACUUAUUUAAAUAACCAAGCGUUGACUUUGUACAAGUCUAGUUGACUAAUUUAAUCCAAUUUAUGUGAGUGCAGGUCCUGAUGAGUUAGAUUGGGAAUCCUAUGCGUAGCUACAAGUAGCAAAAUAGAAUGACAAAUGUAUUCAACGGAUAGUUAUUAUGUCAUAAAAUCAUAAUUUUUUCUUAGUUUUAAUUUUUUUUCAAUAAUAAAAUGACUUUAUGAAGAUAAUAACUAUUGAUUGAGUGAUUGUAAAAGAAAUCAACUCUUACCAUAUAUGACUUUUUGGAACAAUCUAUAUGCAUCUUUAUAAACACGAUUCCAAAAUAAAAACUGAGGGUUAAUUUCAUAUGAAUAAUCGAUCACCGUUUGCUUUAUAUAUAGUGUCAAACUCAUCGAGUUUCAUAUCUCUAUUGCUAAUAUCAAUUCCUUACUAUCAUGCCAAAAAUUAUACGUGAUUGAUAGUAAAGACACAAUUCUUUAAUUUUUAACUAAGUUUAUCAAGCAAGUGUCGUAUUUGAUCAUGACUCUGACCCAAGCCACCCUAACCCUCUCGUGGAUCUUUCCAUUACCCAAUAUCAUGAGCUCAAAACAGGACAAUGUAUAGUAGCGGUCCCCUUUAAAAGUCCUAUACUAGAUCCAAAUUAAAUAUAGUUUCAUGGUAGAAAUGAAUUGAAAUAUCAAAAAGUACAAAUCAAUGAUUAAAGCGUACAAAAUCAAAGAAAUUGUAGAAUAAGGCUUCUACAAUAUUCUGAUGAUUAAUCAAUUUGGAAGAUAUAGUUUGAUCCAAAAUCAAUAGCAAAGAAAAUAGCUCUAACUUUUGGUCUUCCCAAAUCUUCUUGGUCAAAGUCCUUUAUUAUUUCAAAAAUCAUCAUGAAUUUUCUUCUGCCAAAAAAUGUAAUUUCGAGGUUCAUCGAUUGAUCACUACUCAUCAUGAGAUAAAUCUUGUAAAUUAUAUAGUUCUGAACUUAUAUUAUUCUAUUUUCUUGACCAUCGAUCCACUGCAACAGCAGUCAAAUAAAUAAAGCUAAAUAUAUAAUAUACACCUAAUUUAAUUGUUAUUAUUAUUAUUAUUAUCCAUAUGAAGGAUGGGAACAAAGAGAACAAAUUAAAUGUUUGUUGCUUUUAACAUGUAAGUUUUUUUUCUUAAAAAAAUAAUAUCAUCUUUGUAAAAUGAUUUUUAUAUAUUCAGAUGGUAACUGGUCAUAAGAGAUCAUGUCGCCUUUAUUUCUUUUAGUUUGACAACGAUACGAACAACAUGUAUAUGUUCAGUACAAUUCUUUGACCUAAAUAUUCUAGAAACAUUUAUAGGCUCAAAUUUUUGUGGCUGUAAUUUACACGGUGUCAAUUAUUCAAUACAAUGUUUUCGUACAGAAUCAUAUAAAGAUUUUAUUAAAGUUCUAAUGUGCUACUUCCCUCAGAUUAACUUUUCACAUUUGUACUACAUUUUGGCUAAAAUAAAUGAAUUAAAAAGAAAUUUUAAUAGUUCAAUUGGUUGACUAUUUGAACUCACACAUUGUUGGUGAGGGUUCGAUUCCCCAACACUAUAAUCCCUUCCCUUGCCCCCAAUUUCAAAAAAGAAUAUUGCAUGAAACAACCUCCUACCCCACCUUAAUGAGAAAAAAAAUAAACAAAAAUGACAAACUUCAUGAUGGCAAAUUAUAGUAGUAUUGGUCAUAUUUUCUCUCUUUUGUGUUGAUUUUGUUGACAAAGAGAGGGAAUUUGAGAUUGGCUAGAUACAAAUUUUGAUCUUUUGGCCACCAAAUAAAUCGUCCAACUUUUUUCAAUAUUUUUUUGUUGACCUUUUAAUUUGCACGUUUAUUUCUAGGGUGGAAUUGUUGGUUGCACUAUGAGAUUCACAAGGGGAGACAUGUCCACCACUUUCAGAACUUGAUAAGAGUAACUUUUAUUUAUUAUGUUUGAGACACCACCUAAAUAUUUUAUAGAGUAGCUUCUAUUUUAAUAUCGAAUUCAUUCACCAUAACCACAACAAACAUUAAUCAAUAUUGAAAAUCAACACCAUCAACCACUAGUAUAUACUACAACUAUCAUUUAUCAAUCAUCACCACACACUAUAAUUAUCUAUCGUUAUCCUCCACCACAAUCAUCAUCAACCGCCACCACCCUUAAUGAGCAUCUACAAUCAUCAUUGUUAGCCAUCACCACCACAAACCACUAUAUAUCUUUUAAAAUAUUUUUGUUUGAUAUAGUAUUAAAUAAAUUAGUUUUUUUAAAUUUAUACUAAUCAAUAUUCAAAUAUAUAUAAACUAAUAACUCAAAACAUAUUUACAUGAUCAUAUCACUUAAAAUGUUAAUAUAGACAAUCUUAUAUAAUAAACAUAGAUCAAAAACCUAAAAGAAGUGAUAAGUCUUACGUGAAAUUACACGAAUAAUAUAAAAUAUAACUAUAAUAUUGUCAAUAUAUAUAAUUUAAAUUUUCCAUAAGAAAUGAAACAACUCAAUAAGUUGGAGGGAAUUGUAGGAUUUGAAAAGGGAAAGUUUUAGCUAUGGAUCCGACAAUCUCAUGAUUUCUGAUAAAAAUUUCAAACAAGUAAUGGAUUGUCUUCUUCAAAAAAAGAUAUUCACAAGUAACAAGUUGAAGUAAUUGAGAGAUUUCCACCAAAGGGUAAAGGGCAAAGGGCAAAGGGGGGCAGGCAUCAUAUGCUGAAUUCCAUGCAACCAUAAUGGCCAUUUCAAUCAGUGUGUUAAAGUCUUCUAUUAUUCAUCAUAAGAUAAAUAUUUGGUGGGGUCUUUCUCUUUUUCUUUUUUGUUGUCUUCUCUUUGUUUUCUUUCCCUUUGAGGUACAUAUGGUUUUUUCAAACUUUGACACCUUUUUUUAAAAAAAAUUCUUUCUUGAACUUUGACAUGCAAUGUUUCUUUAAUUUAUUGGCUGGUGAAACUUAACACUCCUUCAACCACUUAAGUCAAUUACAUUUGCACUAACUAAAUCCUCAAUAGCUAAGUGGUAUCUGAUUUAAUAUGUAUGUUGCUUAUAAGAGGCAGAUUCACGAGUUAAAUUUGAUAGGUUCAACCACUCAAGUCAAUUAUAUCUGCAAAAACUAAAUCCUCAAUAGCUAAGUGGUAUCUGAUUUAACAUGUGUGUUGUUUAGAGGCAGAUUCAGGAUUUAAAUUUGAUAGGUUCAACCACUUAAGUCAAUUACAUUUGCACUAACUAAAUCCUCAAUAGCUAAGUGGUAUCUUAUUUAACAUGUUUGUUGCUUAGAGACAGAUUCACGAGUUGAAUUUGAUAGGUCCAACCACUCAUGUCAAUUACAUUUGCACAACUAAAUCCUCAAUAGCUAAGUGGUAUCUGUUUUAACAUAUGUUGCUUAGAGGCAGAUUUAAGAUUUUAAUUUGAUUGGUUCAACCACUUAAGUCAAUUACAUUCGCAGAAACUAAAUCCUCAAUAGCAAAAACUACUAUUCUCUAUAAAAGAAAAUAAUAGUGCUAUAUGAGUUAACAUGUGUGUGCGUUAGAGCAGAUUUACGAGUUAAAUUUGAUAGGUUUAAUUUUUUUGAGUUUAUUAAUGUUGAACACACUAUUUUUAAACUAUGGAUUUAAAAACACUUGGCUUACUCGAAUCCAUUAAAAUAGGCUCCGUUGCCUCUGAACACACUUCAAGUCUUUCACCUGAUACCUGUUAUUUCGCACCAACACAAGUAACAUUGUAAUUUUGCUGCAUAAAACUUUGGCAAAGAAAAGAGAUCACUUAUUAAAAGUUAUGUUUACCCCUUGCUUUUCUUUGUUUCUUUGGCUCUCAUGAGUAAGAAGGGCCCUAAUACUUUUUUUUUUCUCAUUAAUGAUUUUUAAUCAUGGAAUAUCUGAUUGCUAUUGAGUUGUAACUCAAAAUUCAAUCAUAUUUUGUUAUGAUCAUUGUUCAAUAACUCUCAACUAUGGCAUUUUUCUUUGACUUUUAAUUUCUCUAGACUUAUACAACCUUCUAGAAAAUGCAUUUUUUUUCAUCAAUUUAAACCAAGCUUGAAAUUUUACUUUUAUGGGAAAAGCCAUAAUCUAUUUAUUCAAAAUUUCACUUAUUAUUUAUUCUUUAGGCCCUCUAGAUCCACCUUCUAAAGUUUACUUGCCACUUAUUACAAGGAGGAAGGAGCCUUUAAUAAUUGGGCCUAACCUAUUGUGUUGGAUAUCAUGUUGGGAUUUCCCCUAGGUACUUUCAUUUUAGGGCAAGUUAUAUAUUUUUGGAAAAUUAUAUAUAAUAGCAAACUAUUAAUUCAAAUUAAAUGCUAUAAAUAUAUUUUGAUUUAAUUGUACCCUAUAGCAAACUAUUGCUAUUUUCGCCACUCUCCCUGGUGGAAUCUCGCUCGCCACUCUCGUUUGGUGGCAGUCUCGCUCGCCUCACUCCUUUUAUACAAACACAAAUGUAUAAAAUGUGUUUGUGUUUGUAUAAAGCGAGAGGAAAUUGUAUAUAUACAUAUAUUUUCGUUCUCCUCUCUCCCCUCUCCCAGAUCUCGCUCGUCACUCUCCUAAAUCUCGCUCGCCUCUCUCGCUUAUACAAAUAGAAACGAAAUGUAUAAAUUGCGCUUCUGUUUGUAUAAAGCGAGAGAAAAUUGUAUAUACAAAUACAAAUACAUAUAUUUUCGUCCUAUACACUUAUGAUUAUACAAAUACGAUCUUCCCCGAAUUAUACAACUGUUUUCUUUAUAUAUGUAUAGCGAAUUAUACAACUGUUUUCUUUAUAUAUGUAUAGCGAAUUAUACAACUGUUUUCUUUAUAUAUGUAUAGCGAAUUAUACAACUGUUUUCUUUAUAUAUGUAUAGCGAAUUAUACAACUGUUUUCUUUAUAUAUGUAUAGCGAAUUAUACAACUGUUUUUUUUGUAUAUGUAUAGCGAAUUAUACAUAUAUAUGUUUGUUAUGGAGCGCAAUUAUGCAAACUUUGCUAUAACACACAAAUAUGAAUUUUGUGUUUGCUAUAUGUGAAAGUUGCUCUAUAUUUUACCGAUCGGCUAAAAUAAUUAUAAAAUCGAUUAAAAAAAACAAUUUUGUAUAAAAAAUGUGUAUUUUGUGUAUUUCAUAUAAAAAUAUACAUUUGCUAGCUAUUAUUUUAGUUGUUGGUUAUGUAGUGUAGUUUUCCCCUUAUUUUACUACUCUUUUCUUUUUGAGAAAUUGGCAUGUGUAUGUUAGAAUUUUUGACCAAAGUAAGCCAUUAUUAAAAUCAAUUCACCAAAAUAAUAUGUUUUUUUGAAAUUUUGCAAAACUAGUAUAAAUGUAGUUCUCAGUAACGUUUUAGAUAAUAUUUUAUUCAAAAAAAUUCAAUAACUAAAAGACAAUAAUCUGACAGAGUAAACAGACAUAAAACGUUAUUGUUAGUAACGUUUUAUAAUUCGCUACUCUGAAGCACGUUUUACAGCUAAAAUGUGACUCACAGUAACAUUUCUCUAGAAUGGUGAAAAUUGAAAUUCAAUCUUGUACCCGCCUCAUUCAUUAUUCAAAUUUCCAUUAUUAAAAUGGAUAGAUAUAUUUUGUACAUACAUUCAUUUGAAAUAUAUAUGAUUUUCUCUUUUCUUUCUCUUUUCAUACAUAGACAAUACAUUUUAAAACAAAAGUAAAAAAAAAAGGUGAGGAAGACUUUGCACAAAUUGGAGCUUGUCUCGUAUCAUUUCAAUUUCAAAUUUUGUAAAUGAAUCAUAUGAGAGAUCUUCUUCUAGCCUAAGAUAGCAUCCCUUUCAAAUAUUAGACCAAUCGGUUUCUUAUAAUUAUUAAAUAUUAGACUAUCAAUAAAGAAGCUAUUGAAUUAAAAUUGAUGUAAUAAGUAAGCAAAACGCCUAUUAAAAAAAAACAUAAUGGCUACAUCAUAAUAGAAGAGACAAAGAAAUUAAUUGAUAUUGUAGUAAAGCCCUCCCCACAACUUCUUUUCCUUACAAAAAUAUUAUCUUAUAUUCAUUUUAAUAGUGGAAGUUUAAUAAAGUUGAAUGAGGCAUGUACAAGAUUGAAUUUUAAUUUUCAGUCAUUCCAGAAAAAAAUGUUAAUAUGAGUCACGUUUUAGCUGUAAAACGUGCUUCAGAGUAACGAAUUAUAAAACGUUACUGACAAUAACGUUUUAUGUCUGUUUAUUCUAUCAGAUUUUUGUCUUUUUGUUAAUGAAUUUUUUUUGAAUAAAAUAUAGCCUAAAACGUUACUGAGAACUAUGUUUCUACUAGUUUCGUAAAAUUUCAAAAAAAAAGUAUUAUUUUGGUGAAUUGAUUUUAAUAAUAGCUUACUUUGGUAAAAAAUUCGUGUAUGUUAGUCAGAUAAAAGAUUGUUGUCAUCUUCACAUUGCGUUGAACUCUUCGUUCAAAAGCCUUGAAAUCAUUGUUGUGAUAUUUGUAAACUUAAAAACGUGAAUAUAACUAUGAAUACAUUGUUCGAGGUAAAGAACACAUUGUAUAUAUGUAUGUAUGUCCAUGUAUAUUUCAUGUACAUGUGUAUAUCAGUGAAUAUCCAUGAUAGUAUAUGUUCAACAAAGAAGAAUGUAGGUCAUGUAUAUCUGUGUAUAUUAGUGAUAAUAUGGCUAUGAUAUACACACGUGAUAUGUAUUAUCGAAGUAAUGUUUUCCAAGUGAAUUCCAUAUCUGCAAUUUAAUUUCAAUCAUGUAUGAAAUAACCUCCAAUAUACAUGUGAAAUUCUUACAUGCACUACUAGACUAUAAGCCUAAAUAAUUUUUGUUUCUAUUUCAUUUUUAUACAUAAUUAAACUUUGAAAAAUAAUUUAACUUUAAGAUUUCAACUCAGGUAUUGUUCGAACACUAACGCAGUGUUUGAUGGCAUGGGAAACUGUGUUUGAAAUGGUUGAGUGAGAAUAUGUUUGACCGUUGGUUUGGGCCAUUGAGGCUGAAUUUUCUUUUGGGCCUAGUAGAAUCAAUUUAAUUGGGCUGGGCCGGGGCAAGCAAUGGAUGGGAAUAAUUUGGAUAGGACUUAGAUAUUUUUACAUGUAAAAAUACAAGUGUGUUUUUUAUGUGGAAAAAUUGAAGUCCUAUUCAAUAAUUUGGAUAGGACUUAGGUAUUUUCAUAUGUUAAUACGUGUGUGUUUUGUAAGUGGAAAAAUUGAAGUCCUAUUCAAUAAUUUAGAUAGGACUUAGAUAUUUUUACAUGUUAAUAUAGGUGUGUUUUGUAUGUGGAAAAUCGAAGUCCUAUUCAAUAAUUUGGAGAAAGAAAAAAAUAUAAAUAAUUUGAAUUUCAUGUGUGUUGGAAAACAUUAAAAAGAAAAAUCUAAAAAUAUAUCAUUUUCGUAUCUAUUCAAAAGUGACCACAUAAAAUCAUUUCCUCCUUAUUUUUCUGGAGAAUAUUUUAUGUUUCUUUUAUAUCAAAAACAUCAUAAGAAUAUUUUACCAUCAAUAUUUUGUAUAAAUUCGAUUCAUGCAUCAAAAUGUUUUUUUUCUUCUUAAUUUUAAUAUCGAAUUAAAUUUUUUAUUUGAAAACAUAAUUGAAUUUCAUUCCCCUAGAAUCAAAGAAUGAUAAUUGGUUGGGAUAAAAAAAAUACGUCAUUGCCACCGUCUCAUCUAACUUUUACCCCACUUCAACUUGUCUCUAUUUUUUUUCUUUUAAUAAAUAUAAUAAAGACGGUUUUUUUUUCGAAUUUAAAGACUAUUACAUACUACAAUUUGCCUAGAAUACAUAAUACCUAAAUGUAUAUAUAUUUUCAAAAGAUAAAAUUACAUAACCAGGGUAUACAAUAAAGCUCUAAAUUUUUUAAAUUCUUUCCAAGGCAGUUUGUAACUUUAUUUACUUUCUUAUGAGCUAUGCUUGACUCGUAGAUUUUCUACGCAUUAAUAACCUAUUACUAAUAAUAAAAAUAAUAUUAAUAUAAUGAAGGUUAUGAUUAAUAUCGAACAUAGAUAAUACUAUAUCUUUAACAUCAAUUUUAACUUUUACAAGGUGGAGAAUAUUUGAUUCUUGUACCAAGUGAAUGUCUAUUUUAAGGUUAGGAUUUCGAUAUAGGAAUCAAUCCAAUUGGGUAAUUCCUUGGUAAAGCUUCCAUGAUAUGCUCUAUUCAUUUUUUUAUUUUUCAUUUGGUUUUCGAUACCCGUAUUGAAGUUCAACUAAUUCGGAUUCAUCCUAAGUCUCUAUUUAGGAGAAAGCGCUCCUAUCGAGAAUUUUUUUAUAUCCAGGACUUGAACCCAAAACUUCUAAUUAAGGAAAGAGCUACCUCCCGCUGCACCGUAUCUGUUAGUUUAUACAUAGUAAAAAAUAUGAGUUAAUAUCUCAUAUGGUCACUCAACUUUGAAUAGUUGACUUAGAAAGUCACUCAACUUUGAGUAGUUUACUUAGAAAGUCACUCAAUUUUAUUUUACAACUCAAAAGUCACUCAAUUAUUGAUAUUUUACUUAGAAAGUCAUCCAACUAAUUUAAAUAAUUUCUUCAUUAAAUUUUGUUGAAAUACAAUUUUGUUUAAACUAUUUUUAAAAAAUAAAUAAAAAAUGCUCAGUUUAAUUAUUUUGUUAAACUUUGUUGAAAUACAAUUCUUUUUUAAAAUAAUAAAAGUUUGCUACUGUGCGUCUUUUUUAUCUUUUUGAUUACUCCUUUUAAUUUAAUAAAAGAUUGUUAAACGUACCAUAGCAAUUGACAAAUUAAAAUUAAAAUGUACUGUAGCAUUGCUAUUAAUUUAAUAAGAAAAUAAUAAAAGAUUUCUACUAUUUUAAACGUACAGUAGCAAUUGAGAAAAAAACUUGCUAUUGUCUUGCUAAAAUUAAAUAUGCUGAAAAAUGCUACUGUACGUUUAUCAAAAAAAAUUGUAAAUAAAUAAUUGAAGUAGGUCAAUAAGAUAAUUAAAAUAAAUAUUUUAUUAAUUCUUAAAACUAAUUUAAAAUAAAAUUUAGACUUCAACAAAAUUUAAUAAACAAAUCAUUUAAGUUUGUUGGGUGAUUUUCUAAGUAAAAUAUCAAUAGUUGAGUGACUUUCUAAGUGAGAUAUCAAUAGUUAAGUGACUUUUGAGUUAUAAAUAAAAGUUGAGUAAUUUUCUAAGUGAACUAUGCAAAGUUGAAUAAUCAUUUGAGAUAUUAUCUCUAAAAAAUAUUAGGUUGUUUAACUGUUCUCACUUAAUAUAAGUUCUAUAUGAUCAAUGAAUUUUAAUCUCAUUAUAUGUCAAGGAUUUACUUAACAAAUCUUCAAGAAAGAAAGUAUUUGAUUGUCAAAAAGAGUAUGGUCAUACUUCAAUCUCUUUUUGAAUAUUUUAUGAAUUUAUGAAAUUUUUUAGAUAUAUCUUCAAAGAAAUAUAUUUAUAUAGACAUGAAAUAAAAUUUAAAAUAGAAUAGUCUCCAAGCAUCUUAACCAAAAUAUGAUCUCCAACUUACGACUUACAUUUUCCUUUUUUUUCAUUACAUCAAAUAUUUGUAUGUUCAACAAUUUCAAAACCGAGAUACGUUUAUUGCUGGGUUCUGGCCUGGUGAAUUUUCCUAUGGGCUUUCGUUCGGGUUAAAACAAAACCAAAAAGGAAAAAAACCCGAGAAUAUUCCAUCGAACAAUUAGGGUUUACUAUGUAAAGUGUCACCGACCCGUUACCGUAUAAAUACCCCUUCUCCGUCUUUUCACUAAAGUGCCGCGUACUGCUAUUUGUUAAUCCUCACACCAUACUUGAGCAAACAUCAAAGAAGCAAAAAUGGAGCAGACUUUCAUCAUGAUCAAGCCUGACGGUGUCCAACGUGGCCUGGUUCGUCUUCCUAAAUCGUGUUUCUUUAAGAUCUAUCACUUUGAGCUUUGAUUCAGUGUGUAUUUUUGUCUAAUAAAUGUUAUAUAUUGUCAAUUUGUAUCUUAGUUUACUAAAUCCUUGAUAAGGCAGGCUUUUUUUUUUCUUU
Molecule: long non-coding RNA, 56222 nt
Filed under: Solanum tuberosum (potato)
Lineage: Eukaryota; Viridiplantae; Streptophyta; Magnoliopsida; Solanales; Solanaceae
Description: long non-coding RNA (STUB_LNC002147)
Source: RNAcentral